Molecule: long non-coding RNA, 54813 nt
Filed under: Gossypium barbadense (sea-island cotton)
Lineage: Eukaryota; Viridiplantae; Streptophyta; Magnoliopsida; Malvales; Malvaceae
Description: long non-coding RNA (GBAR_LNC016649)
Source: RNAcentral
CCUCAAACGAUGCAAUUGGCCCAAUUCUUUAGGGAGAUGGCCAUAGAAAUGGUUUCUACUCAAGUCGAGAGAGAGUAGAAAUGAAAGAUUUCCAAGGUGUGGAGGGAUACUACCCCUAAGAUUCAUGCUUUUAAGUUUGGAAACAAAUUCAACACAAUGUUUUUGGAGUUUGGAAAAAAUUAAAGUGAAAAACAUACCUUCUAAUUUGUUGUCAGAUAGUCCUAUUAUUUCGAGCAUAGUUGAAUUAAAAAUACUUGAUGGAAUCUGACCUGCACAUAUAGUUGAAAAUUGAAGUGAAAAACAUACCUUCUAAACUGUUCAACUAAAAAAACUUUAAGCAUAUUUGUUUUUCCAUCAAAUUAACUAUUUUGCCUUGAAUGAAAUAAAAUGCUCUUACUUUUGUUAUUUAUUACUAAUCAAACUCUUUUCUAAAAAAAAACUUUAAAUUAAGAAACUAAGAAAAUUCGGUACCUUCUAGGUUAUUAAACCCUAAAUAUAACUUCUGGAGUCGUGUUAGAUUUCCAAUACUUCUUGGAAUGAUACCCAUAAAUUGAUUAUAGGACAACGACAAAUUUUUAAGGUUGUUGCAUUUGCCCAUGCCAAAUGGAAUGUUACCAGAUAAUUCAUUCCAACUCAGGUAAAGCCCUUCAAGCUUGGGAAGAUGUUGACACAUAUCAUUAGGCAAACUACCUAGGUUAUUGUUGGAGAGAUCAAUGGUCUUCAAAGAAGAAAUGUUGAAGAUCGAAGUUGGAAUCUGACCUGUAAGGCCUUUAAUUGCUUUAAUAUUAAGCAAUACCAAAUCAAGAAUAUUACCGAUUUCCAAACCAAGAAUUUAUAGAAGAAACAAAUUUAACACAAUGUUUUUUGAGUUUGGAAAAUGUUAAAGUGAAAAACAUACCUUCUAAUUUGUUGUCAGAUAGUCCUAUUAUUUCGAGCAUAGUUGAAUUAAAAAUACUUGAUGGAAUCUGACCUGCACAUAUAGUUGAAAAUUGAAGUGAAAAACAUACCUUCUAAACUGUUCAACUAAAAAAACUUUAAGCAUAUUUGUUUUUCCAUCAAAUUAACUAUUUUGCCUUGAAUGAAAUAAAAUGCUCUUACUUUUGUUAUUUAUUACUAAUCAAACUCUUUUCUAAAAAAAAACUUUAAAUUAAGAAACUAAGAAAAUUCGGUACCUUCUAGGUUAUUCAACCCCAAAUAUAAUUCUUUGAGUUGUGUCAGAUUUCCAAUACUUUUUGGAAUGAUCCCCAUCAAUUGAUUAUAGGACAAUGACAAAAUUUUAAGGUUGCUGCAUUUGCCCAUGCCAAAUGGAAUGUUACCAGAUAAUUCAUUCCGACUCAAGUAAAGCCCUUCAAGCUUGGGAAGAUGUUGACACAUAUCAUUAGGCAAACUACCUGGUAGGCUAUUGCUGGAGAGUUUAAUAAUCUUCAGAGAAGAAAUAUUGAAGAUGGAAGAUGGAACCUGACCAAAUAAUUGAUUGAAUCCCAAGUUCAAGAUCUCUAGAUUAGACAUGUUAACAAGUGUUUCAGGGAUUGUGCCUGUAAAGUUAUUAUUCUUCAUUUCCAGCCUUCGAACUCUCUGUAAGUUCCCAAGCCAUGAUGGAAUUUCCCCAUUCAGACGGUUGUAGCUUAAUUGAAGGAUCCUCAAACGAUGCAAUUGGCCAAAUUCUUUAGGGAGAUGGCCAUAGAAAUGGUUGCUACUCAAGUCGAGAGAGAGUAGAAAUGAAAGAUUUCCAAGGUGUGGAGGGAUAGUACCCCUAAGAUUCAUGCUUGUAAGAUUCAAAGCUAUAACUCUUUUAUGGAGGAUGCCACAAGAAACACCAAUCCAAUUGCAAACAGAGGUUGAGGCCGUCCAAUUGUUUGCCAAGACAUUUUGAGGACCGGCAAUGCGAUCCUUAAACUCGAGAAGUGCAAACUGAUCGGAGUUGAGAUUCCUGACUGUCAUACCCCAGCAAAGUCCGGAACAUGGUAUGAAUAAAGCUAAAAGAAGAUGAAAGCAAGUGUUGUAGUUCAUGAUAGCAAGACGGAAUAAGCCAAGAAAAUAAAAAAAAGUAGGACAAGGGAAGUUGAGUUGAUAAAAUAGUUUGGAUGAUGAAGAAAAGCCCAGAGAGCAUGCUUUAAUAUGUUUUGAAGAAAUUUCAAAAUAAAUUUCAAAAUAAAUUUCAAAAUAAAAAUUUAAAAAGGAAAGCAAAGUUUUGAAGAAAUUUCAAAAUAAAUUUCAAGUCUUCUUCUUUAAAAAAUACGUACAAAGAGCGAAUUUUCAAAAUUUUUCCUAAAUUUUCUUCACAUUACUCCACAUAAUCCAUUAAAAAAACUUAAAAAAUAUAUUUUAUUAAUUACUAUACAUUCUUUUAUUUUCAGAAUAAUAAAUUGUUUAAAAUUUGCUAUUAGUCCCUAUAAUUUAAAAGUUAAAAAAAAUUCAAUCCUCCUACUUUUCUAAUUUAAAAAUUUUAGUUCAAUCAAUUUUAAUUUUAAAAUCUCUGUAUAAAAGGUGUUUUUUUUGUGACCGAUCACACUUAACCAAUAUUUAAAAAUUAAUAAAAAAUAUUUUUUUUUGAAAUUUAAAGUGAUCUAAAAACAUAUUUUUAAGUGCUUUGGACCGUCUAUUGUUGAUUUCCUUAUUAUAUUAAGUGUUUGCAAUCACUCCUAAUAUAUUGUGCUUGAGUUGUGACAAAGCCGAUCAUCAAAUUGCCAUAAUGAUCUAUUGAUGCUGAAAUUGAAGUUUUUGUUAUAUUGAUAGAGCUUGUCCUUCAACGCGUACAACGUGUUUGUUAUUUUUCUCCCUUCAAAUUGUAUGAUCUUAUUCAUUAAAUGAAUUAAUGAAUUUCCCUUUUAAAAAGAUAUAUUUUUAAAAAUUAAAUACUUUAUAAAAUAUUUAAAAAUUUGUAAGCCUUAAAACAAUCAACAAAAUAUUUUUGAAAUUUUAUAAAUAUAUUUUAAAACUAUAGUAACGCUACAAAAUAUAUAUAUUUACUAAUUAUAUGCACCUUUUUUAUUUUUAUUUCCUAACAUAUCAUUAUUUUCAACACUAUCGUAAUCCUGUUUUGAUAAUUCCCUUUCCAUACAUCCUUUUUCUACAUAGAAUUUCAAAAGAAAAUGUGAAUUAAUGUAAACGUGAGAAGACUUAAUUACAUUUAUUAGUUUAUCAAUCAAAACUUAAUUAGAAUCCAUCAAUAUUUCACACAUCAAAAACCCAAACAUAAAAUUCACUUUUAAAUUAUUUGAAGAUACAUUUGUAUUAUAGGAAAUCGAUUAAAUUAGUCUUUUAUUAUUAAAUGUAUUAUUUUAAUCUUUGUAUUAGGUAUGAAUGAUAUCUCCUAAAUUGAAGCCAGAGCUAUUCUUGAAAGACUGAAAUUAGGAUUCAGAUGUGUUGAGAUGGAAAGUGACAACACAAUGUUGAUUGAAACUAUUUGUAACAGGUUGACUACAAUAAGUAGUGCUGCCGAAGUAAGACAGAUUCACGAUUGGUGUUCCAAAAAUUGGGAAGUCAAAUUUAGACAUAUUCAGCGGAAUGCCAAUAAAGUUGUUGAUUGCAUAGCUAAGGCAAAUGGAGGCGUAAUUGAGCAGCUGGUUAUCUUGGAAGAUCCUCUGCAUUAUGUGAGAUGGUAGCUUGAAGAAGAUAUUAGACAGUCACUAGUGACUGAUGAUAAUUUUCAUUUGGACUGAUGAGCGCUUAAUUUUCUAAGCUUAUGUUCAACAAAAAAAAUUUUAACUACGUUUAAAUUGUAAUAGAGUUAACAUUUAGUGUUUAAAAAAUAUCUUAAAAAUUAUUAUUUUUUCCAAUUGCAGUUCAAUUCCACAAAUAUCGACGAUGAAUCCGGACAUAAAAAUUAUAGAAAAAAAACACAUCUAUUAUCAAACCAACAAUCCAUGUCUAAACUUAAAUUAACAAAAUUUGCCACGCAACGCCCAGUACACUAUUAUAUAUAUACUAGAUUUAUUCUAGAUGCACAUGUUUUAUUAUAUUUAAAAUUUAAAAUAUAUGGUUGACUAAGUGUUAGUUGAGUUAGUAUUGCUAUUAUUGUCAGUGUAAGGAAAUGUGAGUUUAAUUGCGCUCAAAUGUGUUUUAUCCUCCAAUUCAAGGGUUAGGAAAAGGUUAUUGAUAAUUAAGUUAUACCAACUUUUAUGAUAUUAAAAAAAGGAUUUAUAAAUAAUAUAAGGAAAAGAAAGAAAGAGAAACAUAUUCAUAUUGAUGGGCUCUUUCAAUAUUAGACUUUUUUUUCUAUCACAAGUAAAAAUAUCAAAGGUGAUAAUAAUUAAAUUAUAAAAUUUAAAUUGAGAAAAUAGGGGAUUGAGUUUAUAAGUUUUAAAGUAUAAAGAAUGAAUAUAUAACUAACAACAUAUUUUAACCACAUAAUAAAAGUAGUUAUGGUAAAAUAAUGACCUGAAUAAUUUUAAACGUCUCAUCCUUGCAAAAAUGAAAUAAUAGAAAAGAAAUAAGUGUUGGGUGUAGUGGCAAUGUACAUCAUACUUCUAAGGGGAGAUUAGGGUUUUAGACAAGGGAAGAAUUUUAAACUUGCUCUUUUCUCUAGAACUCAACGCAAACCUCAAAUUUAUCUUUUUAAAAGAAUUUAAAAAUAUGUAUAUAAAAGGUGAUUUUUUUACCGAUCACACUUAACAAAAUUUUAAAAAAAAAUGAAAUUUAAAGUGAUCUAAAAACAUAUUUUUAAGUGCUUUAGACCAUCCUGUGCUGAUUUCUUUAGUAAUUUGAUUUGUUCAAUAUAGAUUUUGGUAACUUAAAACAAAAUUAAUAAAAAAUUAUUUUUUUAGAUAUCUUUUUAAUGUUUAAUAAUAAGUUAAUUUAUAAAAUAUACUUUCAUUGGACACAGGGCCUCCAAGGCGGUGAACCACUAAUCAAAUUAAUUUUGAGAUACUUAAAUUUGUUUUCAUCAAUUAAGAAAUUAAAAAAAUUGUUGAGACCUCAUGAUUAUGUUUUAUAAUUUCAGGCUUAUCAACUAUUUUGAAAAACAACAAAACGUCUUACACCAAAAACUAAAAAAUAAAAACGUCGACAUUAAAUUUGUUGGCAUGCAAUCAAUUUUAAGAUGGUUUUUGGAGUUAUAUAUCACCUUAGCAUUGACUUACUUUUCUACAGUUUGUCUUCUCCAACAAGUUAAAUAUUUCAAUUUUAACAACAUUGACAGGUCUUUGGGGUAGGGUCGAGCAAAAUUCAAUAAAAACAGAUGAUAUAAGUUGAGUUGGCUCGGCCAAGUCGAGUCGAUUUGUUCAAAUUAUUUAAAUUAGUAAAUUUUAGGGUGCAAUUAGAAUUUUUUGUUUUGAGAUGCUAAUUAGAUUAAAAAAUUUCAGUUGCUAAAACAAAAAAAUUGUAUUUAAAAAGGCAUAAAUUAAAUAAUUAAGUUUUUCGAGUUUCCAUUUAAUCAAAGGUUAAAAGGACUAAAUUGAAGCUUUUUAUUUUUAAGAAAGGCUGAAUGACAAAUUGCCCAAAGCCCAUGGCCCUAGCUAUACAACUAACUUUUCUAUGAUUAGUCCUUGGUUUGCUUUGGGUGAAAUCUUCCAACUAGCCUCAUCCUUGGUUUUACUUUCCAACAAUUAGUGUAUCGCGGGUUUUGUUUUCUUUAAAAAAUAUUUGUGGAUAUUAGGAGAUAAUGAAAAUUAUUUUACUAUGAAAUUUUAAUAAAACUGGAAAAUAAGUAAUUUAUUUUAAGAGAUCACAAUUAAACGUUAGAUUUCCCCUUUUUAAAUUAUAAAUUUUUUUUUGACAAUUGCAUAAUAUUUUGAGCGUUGUAGGAAUGCCAUAAUAUAACCUUCCCUACGCAUAAUCGACUCUUGAGCAUGAUGGAUCCUAGACCUUCUCCUCUAUUCUCGUACCACAAAUUGCUUCAAGUGUGGGUUCGAACAAUCACAAAUUAAACGCAAAACCAAAAAUGAUUUAUUACUUUCAAUAGCAAAGUAAUUCUCUCUCAAUAGAAACCAAUAGAAUUGUAAUUCCUAGAAAAUAAAAUUUAUUUUUUGAAAAUAUAUUCUCACUACUUUCUAGCAGAAUAACAAUAUGUGAAACUUAUGUCUUGUGUUAAUAGCUCUACCAGUACUAUCUAUUUAUAGGGAGAGACACGAGAAUCCUGGUUGAAUUAGUAAAACACGAAUAAUAUUUAUUUCAUAGAAAACAAUAUUCCACCCUAAGUAGAUCAAGUUUGUAUGACGCAUGGAUCAAAGCUCAAUCUAGGAGAAAAAAAACAAAGGAAUUUUCUUUGUAAAGAAAAUUUGAGAUUGUACUAUUUUCAAAGUUAUAAAUAAAAUUAUACGCCAAAUUUUCAAGUCAAUUUUCAACUCCAAUUUUGUAUGCACAAAUUUCUAAUACACUUGGUGGGACAUUCUUUGACUUUUAUCUAUUCUCUCAAAAAGUUAAAGUUCAAAGUUACAUUAAACUCAAAGAAGAUAUUCAUUAGUAAACCACCUCACAAGCCUGCUCAAGCUAAUCCUACAACUCGUUCCACUUCAUCAUCAAACACCAAUAUUCUUGCUUAUCCUUAUGGAAUUAAACAGUCUCAUUUUCUGCAUUUUGGGUACACACUUAGUUUUGUUUGAUGCUAAAACAGUCCCCGAGCACUCCAAAACCUAUAAUUGAACAAAUAAUACUAAUUUAAUCUUACAUAACAUGAUCCCAAAUUGAAAUUGUAUCGAGGUUUUAACCCAUAAGUGACUAAACCUUACCUUCAACCGAUGAACAGUAAUUCCCACACAAACUAAGACUCCAAUUGGAGAUUACGAGCCAUUGAAUCCUCCCCUAAUUGGCAUAAACAAAACACUUCAAAAGAAAGUUAACAAAUGGAGACAAAUCACUUAUCUAAAACUUACCGAACGAUCACAGAAAAACGUGGAGUGACACGAGGCAGAGUGGGAAAAGAAAAAUCAAGAGGAUGAAGGGUGAAAGAGAGCAAAAAUUCGGUAGCAAUGAAGAGAAAAACAGCAAGAAAGUGGAGGGAUUUUAGGGAAAGUAAAAAAAAAGAUGAAUAGAAUAUUUGAUAACUACCCAAUCCCUUAUUUCUCUCUAUCAAACUCCCCACUAAAUCCACUACUCGAAUUUUUAGUCCAUCUCAAACUCUCCUGGACGCACGAGCAAAAAAUAAUGACCAUGCCAAAAUUUAAACAAAAGACCUCCUUCACACCAACACUCCACUUAUCCACCAGACCAAUAGGCUCAUUCUUUUAAUUAUUUUCCAACUUUUACUUAAAAGCCUACUGACCAAAGAUAGGGCUUAUUCAUAAAAAUACCAAAUUUUGCCCAAGACCUGGCUUGAACUUGGGACCUCUCAAACACACCCAGAACACAUAACCACUAAAGCAGACAGAAAUUUUGUGUCACACAUUCACAAUACCCAAAAUUAAAAUUUUAGGGCGUUACAAAAACACAUUAAACAAUAUCGCAUAAAACAAUCACAGUCAGAUAACAAUUCAGAAUGUCGAUUUUACAAUUUAACCACCAAUAGUAUCAUAGUAUUCACAGUUGUAAUUUCAGAAUAUCAAAUUUCCACAUCAUUCACAAUAUUCACACAUAUAUAAAUAUAUCAUAAUAGAAUUCUAGAUUUGUAUGCACAUGAUUUAGAAGAUGCCAUACAAUUUUGGGUUUUAACAGAAUAAAUCCUACCCCACAUUACAUACCAUAAUGGGAGUUCCCCUAAACUCCCUUCUCCAACACACUAGGUUGUGGAUAAACCACUAUUGGUUCACAAAUAAUAACUGUCAUUUGGCUGUGGACACAUAGCAAGUCCCCGCAAUUGGAUUCUAGAUUUGGUUGUGGAUUCACAGCAAAAAAAUCCUACAAAUGAAGCCUGCUUUUGCCUGUAGAUUAUACAACAUAUACCCGCAGUUGGAAUCUGUCUUUGGCUGUGGAUGCAGUGUAACACCUCAAACUCGACCUAGACGUUAUGGCUAAAUCUUAAUGAUUUACUUUAACUCGCUAGAAAGCCCACGAAUUUACUUUAAAAUCAUGUGGUUAAACUAGUGUUCACUUUGAUAAAUCGUUUUCCAGUUUUAGAGAAAAUUCUUGUUAAAACUGUUACUUUAUUACAAUAAAACAUUGAAGUAAUUGUAUCAUUUUGUAGUGGAAUCUACUAAGCUAUAAGGUUUUGAAAAUCGUGAUUUAGUUUGAAACAAAUCAUUUUGCAAAUAGAAAUUUAAUACUACUUAAUUUGGAAAAGCACGCUAAAACGAAAGCAAAGUCCAAAAUAAUUUACGGUUUGAAAUUCUAAAAAGCCCAAAUUAGUCAUAAAGUCUAUUUAAACCAAUUUAUCGAAAGUGUAACACCCUAAACCCGGCCUGUAUGUUAUGGCCAAAUCUAGAUGUGUUACGAAAAAAAGUUUAUAAAACGACUUCCUUGUUAUUGGCAAAUCAUCGUAGCCAUUAUUACUUAGUAUAUCUGAUUUGUUUGGAAAACUUAUUGAUAUACUUAUUUGAUUUAAAAUCGUUGCUCACUUACGCCUUUUUAUUAAACCAAAUAUUUUGCAGCGGAGUUUCUUUAAAACAUCAUAUUUUGGAAAAUCAAAUUGUUUCUUGAAAAUCGUUAUUUUAGAAAAGUUGUCAUUUUCAGAAAAAUUAUUUUAUCAGUUGUUAUGCUGAGAAAACAAAAUAAAAUCCAAAACCAAAAAUAGUCCCAAAAAGUCUAGAGAGUCCCAAAAUGACAAUACUCUUAAAACUAGACAAGUUUAAACUAAUUUUAAAAGAAUGAAAUUUUACAGAAAUGUGGACACCACUGAGCUUCCGUCGCACCGACCCACCUAAAUCUGAGGGUUACUUGAACAGAAUAAACAAACAGAGAGUGAGUUUUGAAACUUAGUGUCUAACGCGUAUAUAAACAAAAAUUCAGAAUCAAUCUCAUGCAGAACAGAUACAAGUGUAAACCUUUUAUAAAAUUAGAAUUAUACAGAUACAAAUAUGCAACAUCCUACCCUCAUCCUCUACACACCAACUCCGACCAUUCUAUCACACCACGUGGGGUAUAAAAUACCCACCCAGCCCUACACACCGUAUAGUAUUUAUAUGACACUUUUUGGAAUAAUCGCAGCAGAGUUGCCAGUAUAUAGGCGAGAUAUCACCUCACACAGAACACUUCCUCCUCAUAAUACAAAUCCCGCCCCAUAGCCAGAUACAGACAAAAUAUCAUGUAAAAUAAAUUAACAGAUACUAGAGUUAACAUAUCACGCAUGAGCGUAUAAUAGAUAUUACACAUGCUUAUGCAUAACAAAAUAGAUCAUACAUAUUGUAUUCCAUAAUACUCAUAUAAAUGUUAUUUACGUCAAUCUCAAUCUAAUAGAGUAGCUGAUUUCAUGCUUUAACUCUUAUACCACACAUACAGACCCUAUAGAAGGCCCACAGUUGAUCGAGACAACAUGUAUGUCCCUAGGGAAAAAAUUUGUAAUUUGGGCCCAUAUGCAUGUAUGAGCCCACACACCCAAAAUGGCCUUGCCCAUGUGGCUCACCUACCUAGCACUCAGCCCAUACGGUCCAAAAUGGCCUAGGUCGUGUGUCACACACAGCCGCAUGUUGCACACAGCCUACCACAUAGCGAGUCACAAAACCGUUUGGAGUUGACAAGCCUAAUUUUUGGCUUUCGUCAAUCGUCAUUUUCUUACGUUUUCAUUACACACUUGGUUUGAUUCUGACCCAAAAGCAACCCUAAGUCCACCGAAACCUAAAAAUAGCAUUCCAAUGCCCAAUUUCAGUGAACAUUUACAAAACUUAAACAAAAACUAUCCAAAAACAUAGCCUCACAAUAGCAUCCAAUGCACUCGCACACUUACCGUCAACGAAUAGGAAACACCCAACACUCAAUUCGUUGGCGGAGCACCAAUUAUGAUAAUGCAAAAAUUUUAUGGAUUCUCAACACUAUCGAUCCAAAUGUAAGAUUGAUGCUUUCCAAUUAUGAUAAUGCAAAAAUUUUAUGGGAUGGUUUACAUGAAUUUUUGUUGUUGUCAACGAUCAAUGUAUUCAAUAAUUAAAAGAAAAUAUUAGUCGUUGUUAGAAAACCAAUACUAUGAGUGUUGUAGUUUAUUUCAGUAAAUUAAAGGUUUUGUGGGAUGAACUAGACAAUCAUGAACAAUUGAUUUAUUGCAAGUGUGGACAAUGUUUAUGUAACUUAGGGAAGACGGAUGAACAAUGUCGUGAGCAUGAUCGACUUCAUCAAUUACUUCUUGCUCUCUAUUCUAAUUGUUAUGCUCAAACUAGGUUUACAUUGUUUUACCAAGAUCCUUUGCCUUCCUUAAAUCAGGCAUUCCAACAAAUUACUUAGGAGGAACAUGUACGUGGAAUUACACUGAUUAAGGAAGAGAAGUCUGAUAUUUUAGGCUUUGCUUUGCAUACAGAAGGUCAUAACAAAGGCCGAGCUAAUUGUAUUGAUAAGUCAACCUUGUUGUGCACUCAUUGCUAUCGCAAAAGGCAUGAGAUGGCUACCUAUUUUGAAUUACAUAGCCACUUGGAUUGGCGGCUUAAGAAGUAUGGGAAGCCAGAGAAGAAAAGUGAUGAUCGUGGUGGUAAGACAAGUGCACAUCUUCCACGUAAGUAUUUUAUUUCAAAGGAUCACAAUUAAACAUUAGAUUUCUCAUUUUUAAAUUUUUUUUAUUUUUUUAACAACUACGUAAUUAACGAGUACCAAUUUUGGGUGUUGUAGGGGUUCUAUAACUUUCCCUAUAUGUAAUCGACUCUUGCACCCUCUUUUUUUCUCUAGAAUUCAAUGCAAACCUUAAAUUUAUCUUUUUAAAAGAAUUUUAAAAUCUCUUUAUAAAAGACGAUUUUUUUAGGUGACCAAUCACAGUUAAGAAAAACAAAUCGGUGGCAACUCCUUUCUAAUAAAUGUAAAAAACUUUUUAAACAAAAUAAGGUUGAAAUAAUCUAGUUGUCGUUAUACUUUGAUAAAAUUUUAGAUUUAGUCCUUAUACUUAAAAGGUUAAAAAUUAAGUCUUGUUUUUAUUUAAAAAUCUUAGUCCUAUCGUUAAUAUUGUUUUUUUUUUGUCAAAAUUUGUCAAGUUGACAUAUUAAUUAGGUUUCUCUUAUAUAUCGUGGUAUAUGACUAACACAAAAUAAACAAGUUGACAAAUUCUACAAAAAAUAUCAAAGAUGAUAAUAGUUUAAUUAAAAUUUUUAAAUUAAAAAAGUAAGGGAUUAAAUUUAUAACUUUUAAAGUAUAAUGAAUGAAAUUAUUGAAAUACAAGAACUAACAACAUAUUUUAAAAAUAUUACUAGUAAAUUAUAUAUCUACAACAAGAAUUGUAACCUCUUAUAUUAUAUUCUUGUAUUUAUUUUUGCAUCUUUCAUAAUAUGAUUUAUUAAUUUUAAUAUUUUUAUAGAAUAAUAUGCUUUAAAUAGUUUUUUGUAUCAUUUAUAAAAAUUAUAAUAAACUUACAAAAUAAUUUAAUGAUAUUUAAUUAUUAAUCGAAAAAAAUGAUAUCAUAUAUAUUAUGUAUAUAUUAAGAUUCCAAAUCAUUAAUUAUAUAUCUACGCAUUAUAAUAAAUUCAUCUUUCAAAAUUUUCCUUAUAAUUAAAGCAUAAAUUAUAUUUAUAAUAAUAUAAAUAUAUUCUAUCAUAAAUAUUCUUUCAAAUAUUUUUUAAUGUUUAAUAAUAAGUUAAUUUAUAAAAUAUUCUUUCAGUAAAUUAACGUGAUGAGAUCGUUAGGUGCUUGGAUUUGGUGAAGGGGGAUGAAGAGAAAAGGGAUGGAAGUGAAUAAAAAUGUUGAGAAAUGGAAAGGGUUAGCGAGGGAAGCCGCCAUGAAAGGUGGUUCAAUGGAUAUGAACCUUCAAGCUUUUGUGGAUGAUGUUACUCAAGGUUGUUGCAAGUAAAUUUAAAAAUGUUUUUAAAUUAUUUUUUUGUUAAAAAAACAUUUUUUACUUUUUUAUGUGGCAUGCCACAUUAUCAUACUAUCAUGUGACAAUUUCUGGUGAUUUCUGUCCGCAACAUUAGUCAAAUCAACUGUUAAAUCGUUCAACUCACAGUUUUUGUUAAAUGAAGAGGUUAAUUGAUUUUUUUUUGGAAUCAUUGAGUACUCAAUUGGUGCACUUUUUUCAUAAAGGCUAAAUUAAUUUUUUAAUUUGUUAUUGUUGAAGGCUAUAGCAAUAAAAAAAAUUGAGGUAAAAAAAUAUUAGAGCUAAAUUUGUCAUUAUGCCUAAAAUGUAAAACCAAAUUUUUUUGAAAAUGAAAAAAAAUGGAAAAUCGCAAAUUCCGUCGCAUAUUUUUGCUUAAAAUUAUAGUUUUGGUCACCAAUCUUUUGAAGUAAAUAUAGGUCACCAAUAUUAUCAAUUUGUUACUUUGUAAUAACUCACCUUAAGUUAUACCCCGACGCACGAAAGGAUUAAAUGACAUUGGGAUACCAUCAAACUUGUAUCUUAAAUACACAUUUACCCCUAAUUUUAUCACAUUCUUCUUAAUUGGUAUUUAUGGUUUAGAAAAUUUUACAAAUAUAUUAUUUUUUAAGAAAUUAUAAGAAGAUUACAAAAAUUCCAAAAUAAUAUAAAAAAGCUAAGGAAAACCUAGAAAUUCAAAAAAAAAAACGUGGACAUUGAAUUUGCUGUUUCACAUUAAAUUUUUGGAGAAGUAGAAUUUUCUAACUUAUUUUCCAUCAACUUCACUUCAAUUUUCAAUCACAAUCUAUUGCAUUCAAGAGCACCACAUCUUUUGGGAUGAAACAAACCUCUCAAUUUUAAGAUAAACGGAAUCUAUUGCAUUCAAGAGCACCACGUCUUUUUGGAUGAAACAAAGCUCUCAAUUUUAGGAUAAACGGGUCUUUAGGGUUAUAAAUUGAGGUCCUUUUCCACAAUUGCGGGUGAUUCGUUGAUAAUAACCUCAACAUUUCUGUAUCACAUUUAAUUCAAUUCCACAUUCAAUUUUUAGUUUUUAGAGAGAUGAUUGGGUUACAACAAUGGUUUGAAGUGAAGAUAUUUCAAAACAAGAUGAAUACUCUACCAAUAGUCAUAAUUUAAAAUGCAGGUUAUGUUUCAUUUCAGCUAAGUUAAAUGUUAAGAUUGAGGUUAAACCUUUUAGAGGUUGCUCGCAAAAGGAUCAAACCUUUAUAAAAUUGUUUAAAUGAAGGUCAAACCUCUUAAAAUAGACAAAUAAGGGCCUAACCUUUUAAAAGGUGUUCAAAUAAGGGUUUCUCAAAUUUUGUAUAUCAGGUUAUGUAUUUUACUCUAAACACAUCGACAUUUACCUAUUUUUUCUAUAAAUUGGGUUGAAGUGCAUGAAAAAACCUUAUUUAAGCACUUCUGUAAAGGUUAAACUCUUAUUUGACUAUUUUGAAAGGUUUGAUCCUUAUAUAAGCAACCUCUAAAAGAUUGAGUACUAAUUUGACAAGAUUGAGAAAUACCUAAAUUUGUUUUCAUGAAUCAAGAAAAUAAAAAAGAAAUGUUGAGAAAUAUUUUAGAGAUUCUUAGCUUUGACAAGUUCCCUCCAUCAUCUUCCUGCCUCCAGUCCCACCUCUUCUCUUAUGCUCCUCCCAGCUUCUUGCUUUUUGUGUGUUGAAAUUUCAAAGGAACAAAAUAUCAACCUACAUCAUAAGGCACGAUUGCCAGAACUUUACUUUCUAGCCUGUCGAUCCGAUCCAAUGAAAGAAGAACAAAGAGUCUCAAGAUCUGUCAACUUUAUUUCAUUUUCAUUUUCUUUGUCAUUUUCUAUGUUUCAUGUCGAAUACAAUGAAAGAACAUAGAAAAAUGUUGCCUAUUUAUUUCCCAAUCAUCAUGAAAUUACUUGCCAUAGACUUAGAAUUUUCUCACCAAUUUUCAAGCAAUCUGACAUGAUUUCUCAAUCACAAUUAAUUGAAUUCAAGAUCUUUUUAGAUGACACAAACAUUUCAAUUUUAACACAAACCAAUAUUUAGGUUGUACUUCAGUGCUUGACAAGCACUUUCACAUUUGUGGGAUAAGAACUCUUAACAUUUUAGGAUCACAUUUAAUUCAAUUGCAUUUAAGACCUCACGAUUUUAUUCUAUAAUUUCAGUCUUAUCAGCCUUUUCGGAAACAAUAAAACGUCGACAUUAAAUUUGUUGUUGAUGCAUUCAAUUUUUUGAGGGGUCUUUGGAGUUAUAUGUGACUUUAGCAUUGACUGACUUUUUUAUAAUUAAUCUUUUAUAAUAUAUCAAUUUUAAUAACAUCGACAUGUUUUUUAGUAGGGUCUAGCAAAACCCAAUUAAAACCGAUGAUAUUGGCUUAGUUGACUCGGUCAAGUCCAUUAGAUUGAUAAAAUCAAUUUUAAAAUCAGUUAUAAUGGAUUAAGGUAAUUAAUUAUCGAGUAAUGAAAUACAUAAUCAAAUCAAUUGAUUUUGUUAGAAACUAAAAGAAAAUGAGAUAAGCUGAAAACUGAUUGCCCUUUAUUAAAAUUAACGAAUCCGCCCUUUACGUAUUAGAUAAUACGAACAUCACAUAUAUAAUAAGAAAAAUUACGUAUGAUUAUUUAUUAUCAUAAAAGGUUAGUUUAAAUUUAAAGUAAUCUAAUAUGUUUAUUGAACUUCAACUAUUAAAUAAAGUAUAAGCUAAAUAAGUAUAAAUAUUCUAGAAACCAUUUCUAACUGAUGAUAGGCUAAUUCGAUUAAUUUAUAAAAACUACAUAGUAGGGUUAUAGUCCUCAAACUACACCUAAUUUAAUAAUAUUUAUAGUUUUUUUUUUAGCCUUAAACAUUUAUAGUUUUUUGUUAAUUUGGUCCUUACUCUUUAAAAUUACAUAAAAAUUGCAAAAAAAAUUAAAAUUAAUUUUUUUUCAUAAUUUUAAUAACAUUUAUAGUUUUUUUUUUGUGUGUGGUUUGGUAACUUAUCAACUCGACUCUCACUUGUAACCAACUUUUCUAACCUUUUUCGUACCCUUAACCUAAGUCCCGUUACAACUUUCUAAAGACCUCUUUAUCAGUGUAUCAUGUCGGUUUGUUUUAUAAUGGUGGAGAUUUGUUUUUUGUAGUGGCACGAUUGCCAGAACUUUACUUUCUAGCCUAUCGAUCCGAUCCAAUGAAAGAAGAACAAAGAGUCUUAAGAUCUGUCAACUUUAUUUCAUUUUCAUUUUCUUUGUCAUUUUCUAUGUUUCUUGUCAAAUACAAUGAAAAAAGAACAUAGAAAAAUGUUGCAUAUUUAUUUCCCAUUCAUCACUCUAACAGGCCCAAUUAGCCCAGGCCCAAACAUUAAUAAAAUGUCUAGAUUACAAAAUAAUCAACUAAAAAUUAAAAGCUCAAAAAAUAAAAUAAAACCCAUUAUAUUAACCCAAAACCCCAGCCCAAUUACAUUGAAACCCAAAAAAAAAAUAGUUUUCAGAAACCCCUAGGGUUUCAGAAGCCCCUCAAUGUUAUUUUGUAUAUCUAUUUAUCUUUUUAAAUUUUCGAUAUUGUCUUGUUUUGUUUUUGUAUUAUUGUUGUUACCAUCAUUAUUCAUUAUUAUUAUUGUUGAUUUUAUUGUUCUUUGAUUAAUGUUAAUGUUAGAGUAAUAGAUGUUAUGUGAUCAUUGUUAUUAUAUGUUAUAAUUUGUUUACACUCGUAUUGUAGUCAUUUGUCAGCUUAAUAUUUUGAGUAAUAUUUUAAAUAUUACAUUAAUUUCGACCCAAAUGCAUAAUUUUUUAAUAAGUAAUAUUUUAUAUUUUGAAAUUUGAGAGAUCAUUCCCUAACUUACGGGGUCUCAAUUUUUUCGAUAAAUCUGAAUAUACUAACUAUUUUCAAAAAAUAUGUUUUAAAAUUAUCUCGGGAAUUUAAAAAGGAGCGUGUUCUAACUUACUGAAUAUGAUCUUUUUUUUAAAAUCGAGAUAAUCAAAUAACUUUCAAAUAAAUAAAUUUUCAAUGUUUAUUCUCAUAUCAGGAUUUAAAAUAUUAUAUCCUAACUCACGGGAUACAAUUCUUUUUCUCGAUUAACAUGAAAUAUGCCCGUUUUAAUUUUAUUUUUUAAGUGAUUUUAACAAAAGGAUUGUAUUUUAAAUCUCUUCAAAAUUUUCAAUUUUUCGACAUUGAGACAUUAACUAAUCAAUUAGGUACCAAUUUUGGGCGUUACGAGGGUGCUAACCCUUCCUCAUACGUAACCGACUCCCGAACCUAUUUUUCUGAAUAUUGAAGGCCAAAAUUGUUUUAAUAAAUUAAACCCUUAAGACGUGACCCCAUCACACCUCAUAAAAAUUAUCGGUGGCGACUCUCGUUUGCGUUUUUGUUUUCGUUUUCAAAAUAAAAGUCGACCCCUUGUUUUAAAAAAGGUGGUUCGAUAGCUUGGCGACUCCGUUGGGGAAAAAAAUAAGAGAGUCAAGCCACGAGUUGAUUAUUUCUUAUUUUUUGUCAGAAAUUGUGAAUUCGAUUUAAAUUUACGAUCUUUUCAUUGCAUUUUAUGGUCUGCAUCAUUUUGAUAUGCUUGCUUUACUGGUUCGAGUCUUUUAAUCUCCGCAUAUUGCAUUGCAUAACCGUUCGGUUAUACCCUUUUAAGUGGGAGUGAGAAACUAUUCAUUUGUGAGAUUUUUACCUCCGUAUAGGAUAGUGGAUUACUUUCGGGAUACAUCCGUACCUAUGUCUUCGUGAGAUUUUCAUCUCCGUAUAGUUAUAGGGAAAUGUAUUCCCCUGAACUGAACUCAGUCCGUAUGAGCCUAUAAUAGGUAAGGAUUGAGGAAUCUGCUGGUUCAGGUACCCUUUCUUUAGAACUAAACUGCAUGUAGUGAGCCCUAAGAGCAUACCGUAGGUAGAACCACUCCAAACCCCUAGUGGUCACCCAAAUAGGUGCUCUAUUUAUUUUUGCUUGCUUAUUUUUGCAUUGUACUAACCUAUUUUUUUGUUAUGAUUGCAUUGCAUUUUCAUCAUAAAAAAGAUGUGUUGAUUCACGUUCAAUUGCUAAAUAGAGAGCUUGUCAUGGAAAACGGAUUUCUUGAUAAAGUGGAAGACAAUGUGGUUAUCCGGAUAUGGUCCAAGAAAAUUUGACGAAAGAAGGGUGAUAGUCUAAUGGAGGACUACACGACCUUGCUUUAUUGCCCGAGGAUUCAAGUUGACAAAGAUUAUUUGAGAGUCCUCAAUGUCCCGACCUUUUUCAAGAAGCUAACGAGUGUCACGAGGAUGAGUGAGUAAUGAGUUGCGGCCCGGAUCAAGCAAAAAAGAGAUAGAGGAGACACCCUUUUUGAAGAGUUCGCGAGAUUUAUAUUAAUAUCAAAAUGAAGAAAAAGAUCAAUGUCUUCGCCUGGAGUAUGAAAGCAAAGCUGUAUAUAUAUCCGCUUUAUGUAAAUAAAUUUGUUUUCUAGUAAAGUUUUUCUAAUAGAAUUGAAUCAGAAUCAAUGUCUUUUUUUGCAUUCAUUCCAUUCAUCUGCAUUGCAUUUCAUUGCAUCCAAAAUUUCACAAAAGGACCCUAAUUAAUUGAAAUUGUUAUAGUUACUCUGAAAACUAAUAAAAAUCUACCAAUUAAAUAUUCCUACGGUACCCGUCGCAAAACCAAAGUAAUGGAUCAAAUAUUAGAAAGAUUAGAACAAAUUCUGAAAGACAAGCAUAAUCGUUUUUGCUUAGGGUACAAGCCAGAUACAAGACAAAGAAGGAAGGAGUUAGAGAAGAAAUAGGAAAGAAUGACAGCAUAUUUGAGCGAGGAUGAGGUCAAAUGGGAGCCUAUGAACUUUCCCUACAUAUCCAAAACUUUUGUAUCGGGAGGGAUUAUUCAUCCCGAGCGAAGAAUGCCAAGAGAAGAAAAUAUUGAAGAAAUGUUGGGAAACGUUCACAUCAAUGCCAUAUACGAAGAAGUAGUUGAAGGAUGGACCUUGUUAGAUAUCCGACCUUAUGAACCUGGGAGUGUGCUAAACAAUUGGACUACAGAAGAAAUUCCUGUAGUGUUUAGACCUUACUCAGAGUAAUAUUCAAAACACACUUGUUGCUUUUAGCCUAGAAGUGAUAAGAAUCCCUCUGUGAAAUAGGCUCAUGUAUAAACAUCAUUAUUUUAAUAAAGUAAAUCUUUGCAUUCAUUUUGAGCAAAUAUUCUUUUAUUCUUUCCAUACGAGUAAUUAUUUUAGAUUUUUCAUUAUUUUAGGAUUUUCUUCCAAAAAUCAUUCUUUUAUUACAUUCAUAAUCAUACUGUACAAAUAAUUAUUCUUAAAUUCAUUCAUUCUUUGUAUAUUCUUUUGUACCUAUAAUAGGUCCCUAGAUAUCAACGACAUGAGUGACGCUGCUACAGACUUAGAAUUUCCUUUUAAACAAGACAUGUGUUUAGAGGGAUCCCAUGACUUUGAAGAUGACGUAGACUGUGGCUUAUCUCCGGACUUGUUAAGGAUGGUAAAACAAGAGGAGAAGCAAAUCCUACUUCACAAUGAAUCAAUGGAAAUUGUGAGCUUAGAAGGGGAAAAUAGGUGAAGAUUGGGACUGACAUUGCCACAAAUACGAAGUAAGACCUCAUUGAGUUACUCUAAGAAUUCAAAGAUAUUUUUGCAUGGUCAUACUAGGAUACGCUCGGGUUAAGUACUGACAUUGUAGUACACUGCCUUCCUAUAAAAGAAGAUUGCUAGCCAGUUCAGCAGAAACUCCAGAGGAUGAGGCCUGAUAUUGUGCUAAAAAUAAAAGAAGUCAAAAAGUAAUUUGAUGUUGGGUUCUUACAAGUGGUCAAAUAUUCAGAAUGGGUAGCCAACAUCGUCUCAGUUCCUAAAAAAAAUGGGAAAGUACGAAUGUGCAUGGAUUACAGAGACUUGAACAAGGCCAGUCGAAAAGACAAUUCCCUAUUGCCUCACGUUGACACUUUGGUGGAUAAUACAGUAGGCUACUCACUUUUUUCCUUCAUGGAUGGCUUCUCUGGAUACAAUCAGAUAAAGAUGCAUCCAAAAACAUGGGAAAGAUUACAUUCGUGACCCUGUAGGAAACGUUUUACUAUAAAGUGAUGACAUUCAGAUUAAAGAAUAUGGGAGCGACGUAUCAAAGGGUGAUGGUAACCUUGUUUCAUGACAUGAUUUACAAGGAAAUCGAGGUUUAUAUUGACGAUAUGAUUGCAAAAUCUAGAACAGAAGAGGAACAUGUGCAGGUCCUGAGAAAAUUAUUCUUAAGACUGAGAAAGUUCUAGCUCAAGCUUUCCAACGAAAUGCACUUUCGGAGCUAGGUCAGGAAAGCUAUUAGGCUUCAUAGUCAGUGAAAAAGGAAUCGAGAUCAACCCAGACAAAGUCAAGGUAAUAAGAGAUUUACCUCCACUAUGCACUCAGAAGAAAGUUCGAGGUUUCCUAGGAAGACUAAAUUACAUUGCUCGGUUUAUUUCACAACUAACCGAAAAAUGUGACCCCAUAUUUCAUCUUUUAAAGAAACAUAAUCCAGAUGUAUAGGAUGAAGAAUGUCAGGAAGUUUUUGAUAGGAUAAAGCAGUACCUAUCAAAUACUCUAGUGCUGUUACCACCUAGCCCAGAUAGGCCACUGAUAUUGUAUUUAACAGUGUUUGAUAAUUUUAUGGGAUGCAUGCUAGGCCAACAUGAUGAGACAGGAAGGAAAGAAAGGGUUAUAUACUAUCUCAGUAAGAAAUUCACUGAUUAUGAAAUAAGAUACUCGUCUAUUGAGAAAUUAUGUUGUGCCUUGAUCUGGAUAACUCGGAGGCUAAGGCGGUACAUGUUGUACCAUACGACUUGACUAAUUUCAAAGUUAGACCCUUUAAAGUAUAUGAUGGAGUCAACUACUUUGAAUGGGAGGAUGGCCAGAUGGCAGAUUUUACUUUUUGAAUUUGACAUACUUUAUGUGAGCCAGAAGGCUAUAAAAUGGAGUGCAAUAGCGGAUUUUCUAGCUAGCAGAGCCUUGGAGGAUUAUGAGCCUUUAAAUUUUGAUUUUUUGAACGAGGACUUAAUGUAUGUGGCAACCACUAAAGAAAAUGCUCAAGUGGAUCGCAUUUGGAAGCUAAAAUUUGACGGAGCCUCAAAUGCUAUGGGUAAUAAAAUUGAGGCAGUCUUAGUAUCCCCGAGCAGAGAUCAUUAUCCUAUUGCUGGCAAAUUGGAUUUUGAUUGUACAAACAAUAUAGCAGAAAAUGAAGCGUGUAUUAUGGGCAUCCGUAUAGCCAAAGAAUGUAAAAUCAAAGUGCUAAAGGUAUAUGGGGAUUCUGCAUUGGUGAUAUAUCAGCUCAAAGGAGGAUGAGAGAUAAGAGACCUCAAAUUGAUUAAUUAUCGAAAGUUUAUUCUCGAAUUGAUUGAUGAGUUUGAUGAUAUUACUUUCUCCUAUCUCCCACUAGAUGAAAACCAGAUGGCUGACACGUUGGCUACUCUAGCUUUCAUGAUCAAAGUAAACAAACUAGAAGACAUGAAGCCUAUCCAGAUGAGCAUUUAUGAGACUUUGGCUCAUUGCUACAGUAUCGAGGAAGAGGAAAAGGAUGAUCAUCCUUGGUACCAAGAUAUACUGCAAUAUGUAAAGAAUCACGAGUACCCUGAUCAGGCAACGAAGAAUGAUAAGAGGACAUUGAGAAGACUAGCCACUAACUAUGUCUUACAUGGAGAGAUUUUAUACAAAAAGGGAAAGGAUCGGGUACUACUAAGAUGCUGGAUGCUAUAAAAGCUUAGAAAAUCUUGGAGGAAGUCCAUGAAGGUAUCUGCAAAAUGCAUGCCAACGGUUUCACAAUAGUAAGACAGAUUAUGAGAUUCGGGUACUACUGGUCGACCAUGGAAGGAGAUUGCAUCAAUUAUGCCAAGAAGUGCCAUAAAUGUCAAAUUUAUAGAGACAAAAUACACGCACGUUCUUCACCUCUCAACGUUAUGACUUCUCUAUGGCCUUUCUCUAUGUGGGAUAUGGAUGUCAUCGGGCCAAUAUUGCCAAAGGCUUCUAAUAGGUAUCGUUUCAUCUUCAUGGUCAUUGGUUACUUCACUAAAUAGAUGGAAGCUGAUUCAUAUGCUAAUGUCACGAAGUCAGGAGUCAGCAAGUUCUUGAAAAGGGAGAUCAUAUGUUGAUAUAUAAUGCCUGAAAGAAUCAUAUCUGACAAUACAUUGAAUUCGAAAAAUAGCAAAAUAGCGGAGGUCUGCAAUCAAUUCAAGAUCAAACACCAUAAUUCGUCACCAUAUCGCCCAAAAAUGAACGGAGCAGUGGAGGCGGCCAACUAAAAUACCAAGAAAAUUGUGGGGAAAAUGUCUGAGACUUACAAAGAUUGGCAUGAAAAAUUACCAUUUGCCCUCUUUGUUUAUCGAACAUCAAUCAGGACUUUCGUCGGGGCAACGCCUUUCUCUCUAGUUUAUAAGAUGGAGGCAGUUUUACCCAUUAAAGUUGAAAUCCCUUCUCUCUGGGUAUUGGCUGAGCUAAAGUUGGAUGAAGCUGAAUAGAUCCAACCUCGAUAUGAUCAGUUGAACCUAAUAGAAAGAAAAAGGCUAAAAGUUAUUCACCACGGUCAGAUGUACCAAAAACGAAUGAUGCGAGCCUACAACAAAAAAGUUCAUCCCAAAGAAUUCUAUGAGGGGGACCUAGUGUUGAAAAAGAUUUUUCCUCUACAAAAGAAUUUUAGAGGAAAAUGGAUGCCAAAUUAGGAAAGACCUUAUGUUGUAAUAAAGGCCUUUUCUGGAGGAGCAUUGAUUUUGAGUGAGAUGGAUGGUAAAAAUUUUCCUAAUCUUGUAAACUCAGAUUCAUUCAAGAAAUACUUCACCUAAAGAAGGAGAAGGGACCAAUGUGAAAACCUGCAAAGGGCACUUUGAGUCUUAAAAAAAAGAGACCAAGGUGAAAACCGCAAAUGGUGUCUUAAGUCCUAAAAAAAAGAGGCCAAGGUGAAAACUAGCAAAGGGCGCCUUGAGACCAAAGGGGAUUUGAGUUGAAAACCCGAAAAGAGCGACUCAAAUAUUGAUUAAAAUGGGGCAUGCAGUGAUCUUGCUAUACUUGAAUUAAUAGGAAAGGGGUAUACGACAUCUUGGGGCAUCGACAAAGUACUAUAGAUCUCCUAAACACAUUUCAAACUCAAAAUGGUCUUUAGGAAGUUUGUACAGAGAAAUUCAAGCUGCGAUGUCUAGGGCACCUAGUCUUCAUACUAUUUAUAUUAAAUUUGCUAUUCUUGGAAUACUUUAUUCUUUUCAAGAUACGUGUUCCCAAUCAAUUCCCUUUUUAUUCUUCUUUAUCCUUGAUAAUUUAUUCAUUUCGAGCUAUGCUCCAAAUCAAUUCUAUUCUUAUCCAUUGUUAUUAUCUUUUGCAAGCAUGUUGUAUUGGAAUAAUGAUUAAUAGACUAAUAAUACUUUUACAAAUAAAGUGCUGUAUAUUACUCUAAAAGUUUCUAAAUAAUACAAGAACCUAAAACAGGACUAUUGUUUAGAACGCACCGGGUUUAAAGGUUAGAAAUAUCUGAGAAGGAAGAGUCCAAAUUAAGACUAUCCCUUCGAAUUUUGUUGUCAAAAUAUUGAUUGAACAAAACGACAAGAUAUCGUAUUGGUGAACAAACGAGCAAUGAUCACCAGGUAAUAAAAAGAGGUUAUUUUGGAAAAAAAAUUACAUUGGUACGACACCUUAGGAAUGGUGUAAGAGACCAAAGAGGUUCACAUCUUGUAUUCUUGAAUUGCAAUAGGAGAGGAUUGAGAAAGAGCUAGAUAUUAUACUCCUGAAUUAUAAUGGAAGGGAAAUGGUACAAAUUUUAUGUACCAAAAGUACAGUGGAUUGAACCUUGAAGAUUACAGUAGGGGAAAUCUGAUUAAGUAAAAUAUGAAGUGUUUCUUUGGAGAUACCAGUCGAACAAGAUGGCAUUAUGACGUGUCGGUGAUAGAGCCUUAAUGAAUAAUGAGCAAUAACAACUCAAGCAUUAAGGGAUCAUUUUCAUAACAUUCUGUAUUCAUUCAUACACAUCUAGUUAGGAGAUUUUGAUUCAUUCCGAUCAUAACAUCCAAAUCACUAGACAUAAAUAGGCCCAUGAAAUGGAUUCUACAGGUCAUGUUCCCCAUAGAACAGAUGGGUGAAACCACAAAUCCUAUACCGCUGAAGUUGCAGUGGGAUGGAUUGAAGUCAUUAUGGCGAGUCUUAUCUCCCUGAAGUUGCAAUGGAGCAUAUUAAAGCUAGUAAUCUUAUCUCCCUGAAGUUGCAGUAGAGCGGAUUGAAGUUACAAGUCUUAUCCCCCUAAAGUUACAGUGGAGCAGACUGAAGAUAGUGAAUCUUAUUUCCCUGAAGCUGCAGUGGAACAAAUUGAAGCUAUAAAUUGUAGAUUUUAUCUCUCUAAAGUUGCAAUAGAGAAGAUCAUAUCAAACUUUAUCUCCCUGAAGUUGUAGUGGAACAGGUUGAAAAUACCAAUCUUAUCUCCCUGAAGUUACAGUGGAGUAGACUGAAGAUAGCGAAUCUUAUUUCUCUGAAGUUGCAGUGGAACGGAUUGAAGCUAUAAAUUACAGAUCUUAUCUCUCAGAAGUUGCAGUAAAGCAGAUCAUAGAAAACCUUAUCUCCCUGAACUUGCAGUGGAGUAGGUUGAAGUUAUAAGUCUUAUCUCCCUAAAGUUGCAGUGGAGCAGACUGAAGAUAGCGAAUCUUAUUNNNNNNNNNNNNNNNNNNNNNNNNNNNNNNNNNNNNNNNNNNNNNNNNNNNNNNNNNNNNNNNNNNNNNNNNNNNNNNNNNNNNNNNNNNNNNNNNNNNNNNNNNNNNNNNNNNNNNNNNNNNNNNNNNNNNNNNNNNNNNNNNNNNNNNNNNNNNNNNNNNNNNNNNNNNNNNNNNNNNNNNNNNNNNNNNNNNNNNNNNNNNNNNNNNNNNNNNNNNNNNNNNNNNNNNNNNNNNNNNNNNNNNNNNNNNNNNNNNNNNNNNNNNNNNNNNNNNNNNNNNNNNNNNNNNNNNNNNNNNNNNNNNNNNNNNNNNNNNNNNNNNNNNNNNNNNNNNNNNNNNNNNNNNNNNNNNNNNNNNNNNNNNNNNNNNNNNNNNNNNNNNNNNNNNNNNNNNNNNNNNNNNNNNNNNNNNNNNNNNNNNNNNNNNNNNNNNNNNNNNNNNNNNNNNNNNNNNNNNNNNNNNNNNNNNNNNNNNNNNNNNNNNNNNNNNNNNNNNNNUCAAAGGAACAAAAUAUCACCUACAUCAUAAGGCACGAUCGCCAGAACUUUACUUUCUAGCCUGUCGAUCCGAUCCAAUCCAAUGAAAGAACACAAGGAGUCUUAAGAUCUGUCAACUUUAUUUCAUUUUCAUUUCUUUGUCAUUUUCUAUGUUUCAUGUCGAAUACAAUAAAGAGAACAUAGAAAAAUGUGGCCUAUUUAUUUCCCAAUCAUCAUGAAAUUACUUGCCAUUGACUUAGAUUUUCUCACCAAUUUCAAGCAAUCUGACAUGAUUUCUCAUCACAAUUAAUUGAAUUCAAGAUCUUUUUAGAUGACACAAACAUUUCAUUUUAACACAAACCAAUAUUUCGGUUAUACUUCAGUGCUUGACAAGCACUUUCACAUUUGUGGAUAAGAACUCUUAACAUUUUAGGAUCACAUUUAAUUCAAUUGCAUUUAAGACCUCAUGGUUUUAUUCUAUAAUUUCAGUCUUAUCAGCCUUUUCGGAAACAAUAAAACGUCGACAUUAAAUUUGUUGUUGAUGCAUUCAAUUUUUUGGGUCUUUGGAGUUAUGUGACUUUAGCAUUGACUGACUUUUUUAUAAUUUAAUAAUAAGGUAAAUAUAUUAAUUUUAAUAACAUCGACAUGUUUUUUAGUAGGGUCGAGCAAAACCCAAUUAAAAUCGAUGAUAUUGGCUUAGUUGACUCGGUCAAGUCCAUUAGAUUGAUAAAAUCAUUUUUAAAAUCAGUUAUAAUGGAUAAAGGUAAUUAAUUAUCGAGUAAUGAAAUACAUAAUCAAAUCAAUUGAUUUUGUUAGAAACUAAAAGAAAAAGGGCUAAGCUGAAAAUUGAUUGCCCUUUAUUAAAAUUAACGAAUCUGUCUUUUACGUAUUAGAUAAUAUGAACAUCGCAUAUAUAAUAAGAAAAUUACGUAUGAUUAUUUAUUAUCAUAAAAGGUUAGUUUAAAUUUAAAGUAAUCUAAUAUGUUUAUUGAACUUCAACUAUUAAAUAAAGUAUAAGCUAAAUAAGUAUAAAUAUUCUAGAAACCAUUUCUAACUGAUGAUAGGCUAAUUCGAUUAAUUUAUAAAAACUAGAUAGUAGGGUUAUAGUCCUCAAACUACACCUAAUUUAAUAACAUUUAUAUUUUUUUUAGCCUUAAACAUUUAUAGUUUUGUUAAUUUGGUCCUUACUCUUUAAAAUUACAUAAAAAAUUGCAAAAAAAUUAAAAAUUAAUUUUUAUCAUGAUUUAAUAACAUUUAUAUUUUUUUUUGUGGUUUGGUAACUUAUCAACUUGACUCUUACUUGUAACCAACUUUUCUAACCUUUUUCGUACCCUUAACCUAAGUCCCGUUACAAUUUCUAAAGACCUCUUGAUUGGUGUAUCAUCUCGAUUUGUUUUUAUAGUGGUGGAGAUUUGUUUUUUGUAGUGGGCAUGAUUGCCAGAACUUUACUUUCUAUCCUGUCGAUCCGAUCCAAUGAAAGAAUAACAAAGAGGUCUUAAGAUCUGUCAACUUUAUUUCAUUUUCAUUUUCUUUGUCAUUUUCUAUGUUUCUUGUCACAUACAAUGAAAGAAGAACAUAGAAAAAUGUUGCCUAUUUAUUUCCCAAUCAUCAUUCUAACAGGCCGAAUUAGCCCAGGCCCAAACAUUAAUAAAUGUCCAGAUUACAAAAUAACCAACCAAAAAUUAAAAGCCCAAAUAAUAAAAUAAAACCCAUUACAUUAACCCAAAACUCCAGCCCAAUUACAUUGAAGCCAAAAAAAUAGUUUUUAGAAACCCCUAGGGUUUCUGGAACAAUCCGCGCCGCUCCUCCAUCCGCUUCUCCACGCACGCUGCACCUUUCCACGUGCGCCUCCAGCUGGCAGUGUACCUCCAAUGCAACAAACAAAGCAACAAGCAGCAAAAGAAAUGGAAAAACAACAAAAAAAAAAGAAGGAGCAACAAUGUAUAACAGAUUGAUAACAAAUAAUAGAAAAAAUAGCAGUAAAUAGGAAAAAAAAUUAAAAAAUAAUGAGGGUAAUUUCAUUUUUUUCUCUGUUUUGGCUAUAAAGAGAGCCGGUCAAAAUCUCUAAAGGGGGAUUUAGAAUCAAUCAGAAAACAAGUAUUUUGUACCAACAAUUAGAGAAAAAAAAUACAAAAAUAGGGAUUGAAGGUUUUUUUUUUCUUUCGUUUCGAUUUAUUUAAAAUAGCAUAGAAAAUAAAAAGAAGGCUUACCUUGCGACGCCUUCAGAUCCUCUCGAAAAGGGGCUAAAAGGCCCUAUGUGGCACAGAUUUGACCACUGUUCACGGUGGAACCGCAGCGGAGGCGCAGAGGAUUGGCAUCAAUUUAGGCAGGGUUUGAAACCCUAGCAGAGAAAAAAUUAGGGUUGAUAGAUUUUUUUUAAAAAAAUGGCAAAAUGUUGUUUUUAAAAAAUUUUGUUUUAAAAAAAUUGUUGCUUUUAUAAAGGGUGUAAAACGGCGUCGUUUAGGGCAUGUUUCGAUGGCCCCAAAACGGCGCCUUAUAAGGCAACCCCCGACGACCCGACCUGCUCCAUGGGGGAUCCGCGUGGUUUUUGUUAAAUGGGUUAUGUCUAACCCUGGCCCUUCUACUUUUUAUACUUGUUUUAAUUUGAUCCUCUUUUUAUUUAUUUUUAUUUCUUUAAAUUAAGCCUGAUAAUUUUUUUCCAUUACAUUUUAAUCCUUAAUGAAACGGCGCGUUUUAGAGGAGAAGGGAAAAUUACCCUUCUAGUCCCUUCUUGUUAUUCGAGUGUUCAGAAGGGUCCUUUUUUGUUUAUUUUUUAUUUGCCCCAAAAUUUUGUUUUAAAGCUUAAUUUAGUCCUAUUUUGUUAUUUUAGCUAUUUUAUUAUUAGAUUAAUUAAUUUAAUAUUAUUAUUACUGCUAUUAUUUUACCCCUAUUAGUUAUAUAUUUAUUAUUAUAACUAUAUCAUUAAAUCAAUUAGUUUUUACAUUAUUAUUUCCAUUCUGUUUUUUAUUUACUUACUUAAAUACUUUAAAUGCAUUUAUUUUAUUUCUUAUUUUUUUAUGAAAUUUCAAAACUUUAGACUAUUUUUUUGUUACUAUAACCCUAAUUUCAUUCAUUUUAUAAUAGUUUUUUUUUAAAAUAUUUCUUAGAUUAAUUCCCUCGAUGUUAUUUUGUAUAUUUAUUUAUCUUUUUAAAUUUUCGAUAUUGUCUUAUUGUAUUAUUGUUGUUACUAUCAUUAUUCAUUAUUAUUGUUGAUUUUAUUCUUCUUUGAUUAAUGUUUAUGUUAGAGUAAUAGGUGUUAUGUGAUCAUUGUUAUUAUAUGUUAUAAUUUGUUGACACUCGUAUUGUAGUCAUUCGUCAGCUUAAUAUUUGAGUAACAUUUUAAAUAUUACAUUAAUUUUGACCCAAAUGCAUAAUUUUUUAAUAAGUAAUAUUUCGUAUUGUGGAAUUUGAGAGAUCAUUCCCUAACUUACGGGGUCUCGAUUUUUUUGAUAAAUCUGAAUAUAAGAACUAUUUUAAAAAAAUACGUUUUAAAAUUAUCUCGGGAAUUUAAAAAGAAGCGUGUUCUAACUUACGGAAUAUGAUCUUUUUUAAAAAUCGAGAUAAUCAAAUAUCUUUCAAAUAAAUAAACUUUUCGUGUUUAUUCUCGUUUUAGGAUUUAAGAUAUUGUGUCCUAACUCACGGGACACAAUUCUUUUUCUCGAUUAACGUGAAAUACGCCCUUUUUAAUUUUAUCUUUUUAAGUGAUUUUAACAAAAGGAUUGUAUUUUAAAUCUCUUCAAAAUUUUCAAUUUUUCGACAUUGAGACAUUAACUAAUCAAUUAGGUACCAAUUUUGGGCGUUACAAGGGUGUUAACCCUUCCUUGUACAUAACCGACUCCCGAACCUAUUUUUCUGAAUAUUAUAGGCCAAAAUUGUUUUAAUAAAUUAAACCCUUAAGAGGUGACUCGAUCACAGCUCAUAAAAAUUAUCGGUGGCGACCCUUGUUUUAAAAAAGGUGGUUUCAACAGCUUGGCGACUCCGCUGGGGACAAAAAUAAGAGUCAAGCCGCGAGUUGAUUAUUUCUUAUCUUUUUGUCAGAAAUUGUGAAUUCGAUUUAAAUUUAUGAUCUUUUCAUUGCAUUUUAUGGUCUGCAUCAUUUUUAUAUGCUUGCUUUACUACUUCGAGUCUUUUAAUCUUCGCAUAUUGUAUUGCAUAACCGUUCGGUUAUACCCUUUUAAGCGGGAGUGAGAAAUUAUUCUUUCGUGAGGUUUUCACCUUCGUAUAGGAUAGUGGAUUACUUUCAGGAUACAUCCAUACCUAUGUCUUCGUGAGAUUCUCAUCUCCGUAUAGUCAUAGGGAAAUGUAUUCCCCUGAACUGAACUCAGUCCGUAUGAGCCUAUAAUGGGUGAGGAUUGAGGAAUCUGCUGGUUCAGGUACCCUUUCUUUAGAACUAAACCGCAUGUAGUGAGCCCUAAGAGCAUACCCUAGGUAGAACCACUCCAAACCCCUAGUGGUCACCCAAAUAGGUGCUCUAUUUAUUUUUGCUUGCUUGUUUUUGCCUUGUACUAACCUAUUUGUUAUGGUUAUGAGUGCAUUGCAUUUUUAUCAUAAAAAAGAUGUGUUGAUUCACGUUCAGUUGCUAAAUAGAGAGCUUGUCAUGGAAAACGAAUUUCUUGAUAAAGUGGAAGACAAUGCGGUUGUCCGGAUAUGGUCCAAGAAAAUGUGAAGAAAGAAGGGUGAUAGUCUAAUGGAGGACUACACGACCUUGCUUCGUUGCCUGAUGAUUCAAGUUGACAAAGAUUAUUCGAGAGUCUUCAAUGUCCCGACCUUUUUAAAGAAGCUAACGAGCGUCACGAGGAUGAGCGAGUAAUGAGUUGCGGCCCGGAUCAAGCAAAAAAAAGAUAGAGGAGACACCCUUUUUGAAGAGUUCACGAGAUUUAUCUUAACAUCUAGACGAAGAAAAAGAUCAAUCUCUUUGCCUAGAGUAUGAGGGCAAAGCCGUAUAUAUAUCCGCUUUAUGUAAAUAAAUUUGUUUUCUAGUAAAGUUUUUCUAAUAGAAUUGAAUCAGAAUCAACGUCUCUUUUUGCAUUCAUUCCAUUCAUCUGCAUUGCAUUUCAUUGCAUCUAGAAUUUCACAAAAGGACCCUAAUUAAUCGAAAUUGUUAUAGCUACCUUGAAAAACUAACGAAAAUUUACCAAUUAAAUAUUCCUAUGGUACCCAUUGCAAAACUAAAGUAAUGGAUCAAAUAUUAGAAAGAUUAGAACAAAUGCUGAAGGAUAAACAUAACUGCUUUGGCUUAGGGUACAAGCCAGAUACAAGACAAAGAAGAAAUAGGAAAGGAGAACACGUUUGAGCGGGGAUGAGGUCAAAUGGGAGGGAUUAUUCAUCCCAGGCGAAGAAUGCCAAGAGAAGAAAAUAUUGAAAACAUGUUGGGAAACGUUCACAUCAAUGCCAUAUACGAAGAAGCAAUUGAAGGAGUGACCUUGUUAGAUAUCCGCCCUUAUGAACCUAAGAGUGUGCUAAACAAUUGGACUGCAGAAGAAAUUCUUGUAGUGUUUAGAGCUUACUCAUAGUAAUGUUCAGAACACACUUGUUGCUUUUAGCCUAGAAGUGAUAAGAAUCCCUCUGUGAAAUAGGCUCAUGUAUAAAAAUCAUUAUUUUAAUGAAGUACAUCUUUGCAUUCAUUUUGAGCAAAUAUUCUUUUAUUCUUUUCAUACGAGUAAUUAUUUUGGAUUCUUUAAUUCUUUUGGGAUUUUCUUCCAAAAUCAUUCUUUUAUUACAUCCAUAAUCAUACUGUACAAAUAAUGUAAUAGCCUGAAUUUUCAGUGGUGUCGGAAUGGUGAUUCAAGAUCACUAAGUCUGACAAAUGAGUAGAAAAUAUUAUUAAUUUAGUAAGAAUAAGUAAAUGUGAAGUUAGGAAAAUUUUUGAAAUAGUGAAUAGUGUACUAGGAAUAAAUAUUAAAAUAAUUAAAAUAAAAAAUGAGGUAUCGAGACCUCGAAGAUUUUAAACCAAGCCAUAAGUACUUUUAGAAGUAUUUUUAGAGUGUCAUUGAGUUGGUAUUAAAGUUUCGUUAGAAAAUUUUAACGCUCGGAUAGUUAAUUAACCAAAAAGGACUAAAUUGAAAAUAGUGUAAAAUUUGUUAAAUUGUGAUUAAAUAGCUUAAGUGAUUAAAAAGGAGGGAUUUAAAAGGCAAUUAGGCCCAAAUUAUAUGGGCUGGACGGUUGGGUAAGAAAAAUCAGCAGAAUGUAAGGAGAAAACAGGGGCAAAAUUGGAAACUUAACAAAUUAAACAUAUAAAACAAAGACAAAAGUGAAAAAUCUAGAGAUCUGUUCACAAUUUAUCAGCAAAAAUGCCAUAGGAGGUCUGAAAGAAGCUGGUUUUUCAUAUAUUUGAAUCAUGUAAGUUUAAUUCUUGAUUAUUUCUUCUAAUUUUUGUGAUUUUGAUACUUUUACAAUUAGGUCCAACUAAUUAUUUCAUUAGUUUUUGAUUUCAUGGCUGAUUUUGAAAGUUACCAUUGAUGAGUGUUGGAUUUUUAUGAUGAAUAAACAUGGAAUUAAAGCUUUAAUUUUGUUAUAUGAUGAUUUUAUUAAGUAAUUUUGAUAGAAAUUGAUUUUUGGGACCUAAUUGUGAAAAAGUUUGGAAUUAGGGUUUGGUGUUGCGGUUUUGAAUAUGAAAGGCUAUGUAGUAGUCUAAAAUAGUUGGAAAAGGUGUUAAUUGAGAAAAAUUAGAUCAAUUGAGGGGUUAAUUGAGUAGGACCAAAUUGUAAAAACUGUAAAGUUUGAGGUAAAAGUGUAAUUUCGAAAAUUUAAGGGCAUAAAUUGUGAAGUGAAUUAGAAUAGAAUUAUAUGCUGAUGAAUGAAUAAAUUUGUAUUUUAGAUCGAGAACCCGAAGCAAGCCGAGGAAAAGAAAAAGUAGUUGAUUAGUCCCUGAACUUUUACAAAUUCUGCAAAUCGACCCAGGUAAGUUCAUAUGGCUGAAAUUUAAUGAUUAAAUGUUAAUUUCAUGAAUUAUGUAAUGUAUGAUGAAAUGUAUUUAGUGUUGAAAUGAGAGUAAAAUAAAAAUGCGAAAAUCGAAUAAAUGAUCAAAUUAAGCGGAACGCCGGAUUUGAGUACUUCUGAUCAAGAGACAAAGUGAUAAGUGGUAGCUUUAGCUACACUUAUCUGAUCAAGUGAAAAAGUGAUAAGUGCUACACUUAUCUGAUCAAGAGACAAAGUGAUAAGUGGUAGCUUUAGCUCACUUAUCUGAUCAAGUGAAAAAGUGAUAAGUGCUAUACUUAUCUGAUCAAGUGACAAAGUGAUAAGUGGUAGCUUAGCUACACUUAUCUGAUCAGGGCCAAAUGAUAAGUGAUCAUACGUAAGACCAUAGUUAUACUAUGGCCAAGUGAAAGUGAAGUACUCAAUUUUCCGUAACCGUUCCUUAAUUUUGAUCAAGGAUGGUAAGUGACAAAUAGGCCCAAAGAAAUUAUGGUAAAAGAAUAAGUAGUAGUGAGUUUAUACCAAGGAACUCUCCAAAGAUUGUGGUUGACAAGUAAACUUAGUAAUGGUGUAUAUUGUAUAAGUGUACAAAUGUUUGGUAAGAUUUAUGUUUGUGCCUAUGAACUUACUAAGCUUUUCUAUAAGCUUACAUGUGUGUGUUUAUUGUUUUUCUAGAUUAACGUAUUUAUACAUUCGGAGGAUCGGAUCUACUUCGAGAAUCACACUAUCCAGAUAUACUCCGGUAGAUUUUGUUAAACAACUUUUUGGAUUUAUAUGGCAUGUACAGAGAAUUGAAGUAAAAAGUAAUAGAAUGAAUGACUGAGUAUGCAAAGUAAAUUUGAAUGUGAUGGUUGUGUUAGAUAUUGAAAAAUACAUGUUUUUAGUUUGAAAUGGUUGAUUGGCUGAACUUCGUUAGUAUUCAAGUGAAGUAGUUGAAAUACUGGAAUUGGUUGUGAUUUGAAAUUUGCAGGGAAGGUUAGAUAAAUAUAAAGGGGUUAUAUUGAUUUUUUUUUUAAAUUUCAAUGGAAUAAUUUUUGGACAGCAGCAUUGAUGUAACUUUUAAAAAUCACCAAAAAUAGUGGAAAUAGAAUUAGAAGUUGAAUGAGAUAUGAAAUUAAAUCUGAAUGAGUCUAAUUUCACAUGAAAGAAGUAGAAUAAGAAAAAGAGUUAUAUAUUUUUAGAUAUUUGAAUUUUAGUGAAACAGGGCAAGAAUGUUUUUGAAGUCCCCUGUUCUGACUUUAGAAAUUUAGUAAAAAUUGUACAAAAGGAAUUAUGAAUUAUAAUUUAUAUGUUUAAAUUCCGUAAUGAGUAUAUUUUAAGUAGAAAUAAUUGGAACCACCAUAUGAAGUCUUUGCAAUGAGAUAAUUGAAUUUUAGUGACAAGAGGUCAGGAUAGUCAAUUAGUGAAAUAGGGGAGACUUCAACUAAUAAACUGUAUUAAUUUGCUAAACCAAAAAUUCUGAAAAAUUUAUGGUGAAUAUACAUAUGAGUCUAGUUUGAGGGAAAAUUUACGGAUCUAAAUUUUUAGUUUCGUAUCUUGAGUUAUAAUUAUUUUAGUGACUACUGCGCAUGUGGACAGCUUUGUUGUGAAUGGUGAAAUUAAUUUUUAAAGUAAAUUUUUAUGCCCCGAACUUUUAAGUUCAGUCAAGUAACGCCUUAUGCUCGACUCCGGCAACCGUCUUGGGUAAGGGGUGUUAUAAAUAAUUAUUCUUAAAUUCAUACAUUCUUUGUAUAUUAUUUUGUACCUACAAUAGGUCCCUAGAUAUUAACAACAUGAGUGACGUUGCUACAGACUCAGAAUUUCCUUUUAAACAAGACAUGUGUUUAGAGGGAUCCCAUGGCUUUGAAGAUGACGUAGACUGUGGCUUAUCUCUGAAUUUGUUAAGGAUGGUAAAACAAGAGGAGAAGCAAAUCCUACCUCACAAGGAAUCAAUGGAAAUUGUGAGCUUAGAAGGGGGAAAAGAGGUGAAGAUUGAGACUAACAUUGCCACAAAGACAAAGCAUGACCUCGUUGAGUUACUCCAAGAAUUUAAAGAUGUCUUCGCAUGGUCAUACCAGGAUACUCCCGGGUUAAGUACUGGCAUUGUAGUACACUACCUUCUUAUAAAAGAAGAUUGCAAGCCAGUUUAGCAGAAACUCUGAAGGAUGAGGCCUGAUAUUGUGCUAAAAAUAAAAGAAGAAGUUAAAAAGCAAUUUGAUGUUGGGUUCUUACAAGUGGUUAAAUAUUCAGAAUGAGUAGCCAACAUCGUCUCAGUCUCUAAAAAAGAUGGGAAAGUACGAAUGUGCAUAGAUUACAGAGACAUGAACAAGGCCAGCCAAAAAGAAAAUUUCCCAUUGCCUCACAUUGACACUUUGGUGGAUAAUACAGUAGGCUACUCACUGUUUUCCUUCAUGGACGACUUCUCUGGAUACAACCAGAUAAAGAUGCAUCCCAAAAACAUGGGAAAGACUACAUUCGUGACCCUAUGGGGAAUGUUUUGCUAUAAAAUGAUGUCAUUCGGAUUAAAGAAUGUGGGAGCGACGUAUCAAAGGGAAUGGUAACCUUGUUUCAUGACAUGAUGUACAAGUAAAUCGAGGUUUAUGUUGACGAUAUGAUUGCAAAAUCCAGAACAGAAGAGGAACAUGUGUAGGCCCUAAGAAAAUUAUUCUUAAGACUGAGAAAGUUCCAGCUCAAGCUUUCCAACGAAAUGCACAUUCAGAGCUAGGUUAGGAAAGCUGUUAGGCUUCACAGUUAGUGAAAAAGGAAUCGAGAUCAACCCAGAUAAAGUCAAUGCGAUACGAGAUUUACCUCUACCAUGCACUCAGAAGGAAGCUCGAGGUUUCCUAGGAAGACUGAAUUACAUUGCUCGAUACAUUUCACAACUAACCGAAAAAUGUGACACCAUAUUAAAAUAAAAAUAGAUUAAAUUGUAAGUAAAACAUAAUUUAAACAUAUGAAUACAUCAAAUUAAUAAUACUAAAUGAAUACAGUUAUUUAUGAUGAUGUUGUUGCCAAUUCCUAAUUUGGUGUCUAGUUAAUUUGUGACAUCAUAAAUUUAAGUGAUAAAUUUAAGGUUUUAUGUAUUGAUGUGGAUUCAAAUAUCACCAUAAUUUUUGUAAAUAAAAAACUAAUAAGAUAACUUAUAUUAAGUACGAAAGGGUAUUUUUAUAAUUUCUCUAAUCGAGUUGGUGCCCGGUUGACUCAUGACACUAACUCAAUCAGAAGCUUUAAUAAUAAUAUAGAUAUUCAUGUUAAAAAAACAAAAAAAAAGUACUUUAGUUCCAAAUAAUUAUAUAACAAGUAAAUUUAUAAUUGAUGAAUAAAUUUAUAAAUAAUAUAUUUAUAUGAUCUAAUAUAUUAUAUUUAUAUUAAUUAUAUAUCAUCUACAAACUUUGAAGAUCAAUUUAUUAAGUAAAAAUGAAAUUGUUAACACUAAAUCAAUUUUUAGAUUUUGUAUAGAUGAUUUAGUGAUGAUAAAAACAUUAUUAACACUAUUUUUUAAUUAACAAAAAAUUAGUGAUAUAUUUAAAUUAUAUUUAUCAUUUAUUAUUUUUAAUAAUAUUUUUUAAUUAUAUGAAGUAAAAUUAUAUUGUAUACUAAAUAUGGUACAUAUACUCUAAUUAUAACUUGAAAUUUUAUUAUAUAAAUUAAUAUAAAUUUGAAUAACAAAAUAAAAAAAAACUAAUUAGAAUAAUUUUAAAAAACAUUAUUUAAAAGUAGUUAAAAAUCACGUGCAACAGGUGAGAUCAAUGGUCUUUAGAGAAGAAAUGUUGAAGAUCAAAGUUGGAAUCUGGCCUAUAAGGCCUUUAAUUGCUUUAAUAUUAAGCAGUUCCAAACCAAGAAGAUUACCGAUUUCCUCAGGAAUUUGACCUGCACACAUGGUCGAAAAAUCAAUGUGUCAAACUACCUAUUUUGUUAGCAUAAGUCAAAGAGGUUUUCUUUUCUAUUCUACAUAAUUUGCAGAUGUUAGAUUUUAAUAUUUUUAAGCAUAUUUGUUUUCAUCAAAUUAACUAUUUUGAACUAUUUUGCCUUGAAUGAAAUAAAAUGCUCUUACUUUUGUUAUCUAUUACUAAUCAAACUCUUUUAUAAAAAAAAUACUUUAAACUAAAGAAACCAAGAAAAUUCAAUACCUUCUAGGUUAUUCAACCCCAAAUAUAAUUCUUUGAGUCGUGUCGGAUUUCCAAUACUUCUUGGAAUGAUCCCCAUCAAUUGAUUAUAGGAAAAUGACAAAAUUUUAAGGUUGUUGCAUUUGCUUAUACUUGACGGAAUGUUACCAUAUAAUUCAUUCCGACUCAAGUAAAGCCCUUCAAGCUUGGAAAGAUGUGACACAUAUCAUUAGGCAAGCUACCUGAUAGGCUAUUGUUGGAGAGAUCAAUGGCCUUCAGAGAAGAAAUGUUGAAGAUCGAAGUUGGAAUCUGACCUGUAAGGCCUUUAAUUGCUUUAAUAUUAAGCAGUUCCAAACCAAGAAGAUUACCGAUUUCCUCAAGAAUUUGACCUGCACACAUGGUCGAAAAAUCAAUGUGUCAAACUACCUAUUUUGUUAGCAUAAGUCAAAGAGGUUUUCUUUUCUGUUCUAUAGUAAUUUGGUGAUGUUAGAUUUUAAUAUAAUUCAGCACAUGUUUUUCAUCAAAUGAAAUAAAAAGUUUUUCCUUUUGUUAUCUAUUACAAAUCAAGCUCUUUUAUUAAAAAAAUACUUUAAAUUCAAGAAAUCAAGGAAAUUAAUUACCUUCUAAAUUAUUAAACCCCAAAUAUAAUUCCUGGAGUCGUGUUAGAUUUCCAAUACUUCUUGGAAUGAUCCCCAUAAAUUGAUUAUGGGGCAACAACAAAUUUUUAAGGAUGUUUCAUUUGCCUAUGCUUGACGGAAUGUUACCAGAUAACUCAUUGCUAUGCAAGUGAAGCCCUUCAAGCUCGGGAAGAUGUUGACACAUAUCAUUAGGCAAACUACCUAAUAGGCUAUUCCUGGAGAGAGCAAUAGUCUUGAGAGAAAAAUGUUGAAGAUCGAAGUCGGAAUCUGAUCUGUAAGGCCUUUAAUUGCUUGAAUAUUAAGCAUUUCCAAACUAAAAAGAUUACCGAUUUCUUCAGGAAUUUGACCUGCAGACAUAGUCGAAACAUCAAGGUGUUAAAUUUCCUAUUUUGUUAGUGUAAAUCAAAGAGGCUUUUUAUUUUUUUUCGUUAUGAAAUAAUAUGGAUAUGUUCGAUUCUAAUCAUAUUUAAGUAUAUAUUAGUUCUUGAAAGAAUGAGUUCUUAUUUUUGGUAUUUAUAUUGCAAAUAUAUAUUUUUUUAAAUUUAAAAGAAGGGAGGGGGCAAAUGUGUUUAAACUAAAGACAUCAAGGAAAAGGCAUACCAAGUAUAAUUGUUUAAGUUGUGUCAAAUUCCCAAUGCUUUUUGGAAUGAUCCCACUAAAUUGAUUAAUAGACAAUUCCAAAAUUUGAAGGUUGCAGCAUUUGUCUAUACUUGAUGGAAUAGAACUUGAUAAUUCAUUUCUACUCAAGUAAAGCUCUUUCAGCUUGGGAAGAUGGACACACAAAUCAUCGGGCAAGCCACCAGAAAGACUAUUAUCACAAAAAUGAAUCCUUUUCAAAGAAGAAAUGUUAAAGAUGGAAGAUGGAACCUGGCCAGAUAAUUGAUUGAAUCCCAAGUUCAAGAUCUCUAGAUUGGACAAGUUGACAAGUGUUUGAGGGAUCGUGCCUGUGAAGUUAUUAUUUCUCAUUUCCAACCUUUGAACUCUGUGCAAGUUCCCAAGCCAUGGUGGAAUUUCCCCAUUAAGACGGUUGUAGCUUAAUCGAAUGAUCCUCAAACGAUGCAAUUGGCCUAAUUCUUUAGCCAGAUGGCCGUAGAAAUUGUUGUUGCUCAAGUCGAUAGAAAAUAGAAAUGAAAGAUUUCCAAGGUGUGGAGGGAUAGUACCCCUAAGAUUCAUGUUUGUAAGAUUAAUCAAAGCUACAACUCUUUCAUGGAUGAUGCCACAAGAAACACCAACCCACUUACAGACAGAGGUAGAGUUCGUCCAAUUGUUUGCCAACACAUUUUGAGGAUCGACAAUGCGAUCUUUAAACUCAAAGAGUGCAAACUGAUCGGAGUUGAGAUUCCGGACUGUCAUAGCCAAGGAAACAAUAGAACAUUGUAUGAAUAAAAGUGAAAGAAGAUGAAAGCAAGUGUUGUAGUUCAUGAUGGCAAGACGAAAUAAGCCAGGAAAAGGGAAGUUGAAUUGAUGAAGAAAUAGCCAGCCAACAUGCUUAAAUAGGCUUCAACCCUUGCACACUUCUCAUACAUAAAGUUCGCUGCCAUUACAACAAGAAAACUCAUAUCUCCAUUCGUACCUAUCCAUACUUUAUUUGACUAACUUUUCCCUAACAAGUGUUCAGUAAGGAGAUAAAUCAGUUUGGAGCUAUUCACCGGCUUCUCCAAUCUUGGUUUCAAACUCCUAACCCAUCAAUUCACUUUAAUUGAAACGAUAUACACGAGUCUUUCGGCUUAUAUUUUUAAUUUAAUUUUUGUUACUUUUCAUAAUAUUUUUUGAGAAAUCCAAAUAUUCCAGUCUGAAAUUUCUUCAUUGCCACGUCUAUCUCCUGGGUAAGUCCGUGGUUAGGCAGCCCACUUUGGGAGCAGGAUUGUAAUUGUAAUUCUAUCCGACUCAUUUUACUAUUUAGAAAUAUAAAAGUAAUAUUAUAUUAUUUUUUAUAUUUUUAUAAAUUUAAUUUUAAUUAUAAUUUUUAAACAAUAAAACGAGUCAUUUGUAUUUGCCUAGUCUAAAUUGAAUCAGGAGUCAAAAAAAUUUUAAUCAUAAUUUACUAUUAUUUUAAUUAAUUAAAAUUUAACCUACUACAACUAGUAGUUGCAGAAAAAAUGUCAUUCCUUUAGAAAAACGAAAAUCCUUUAGAAAAAUGAGAACUUAUGAAGCAUUCAAUAAGAGUCAUUGGAAUAAAUGGUAACGAAAUCAUAAUUCAAUAUAAAGCUAAAAAAUGUACCAAUCUAUAUAAAUAAUGUAAGAUUUGUGAUACCUAAAUUAUUAUAUUUUCCAUAAAUAUAUGAAGAUAUUUUAUUAGGAAAUAAUUUUAUAUAUAAAAUUUUUUAUUUUCUUUUGAUAGAAAUUUAAUUAUGUUAUCUGUAGAAAAAAAUAUUUAUAGAAAUAUUAUUAGUAGAAAAUCAUAAAUUUGUGUGUGGCAAAAAAAAUUCACCACCAAGAAAGGGGCAAAUUAAACAACUUGAAACAAGUCAUUGGUUGUUUAAAAUAUUAGAUAAUAAUUUCAGUGAAGAAUCAUUAAAAUUAUGACAAAAUAACCCUAGAUAUUGUAGUAUUAAAUUGGAAAAUCUCAAUAAUAUUAUUAGAGUAAAACCUAUGAUCUAUCUAAACAAGAUAUAGAAGAUUUUGAUAUACAAAUUAAGGUUAGAAAUCAUGCGGAAAUAAAAAAGAAAAAAAAGCUAGUAUGGUCAUUAAUUAUAAAAGAUUAAAUCAAAAUAUUAUUUUUUUAUAGUUACUUGAAUUAAUCAGGCUAAACAAACAAAAUAUUUUAGUAAAUUUGACUGCAAAUCAGGAUUCUAGCAAAUCAUGAUAACAGAAAAGUCCAAACCUUUAACGGCUUUUAGUGCACCCAAUGGACAUUACCAAUGGAAAGUGAUGUCAUUUCAAUUAUGUGAUGCACCACAAAUCUUCCAAAGACGAAUGGAUUUUAUAUUUAAUAAAUAUAAAAAAAUUCUAUGUAGUCUACAUAGAUGAUAUUUUUUAUAUUUUUAGAUACACUAGAAUUACAUAAGAAACAUUUAAAUAUUAUUUCUUAAGAAUUCAUAAAAUAUAGAAUCAUAUUAAACCCUAAAAAUAUAGAGUUAGAAAAAAGAGAGAGAAUUUUUAUAAUAGUGGAAAUAAAAAAUUGUCCUCAAAAGAUUGAAGAAAAAAAGAACUUCCAACAAUUUCUAAUAUAUUCCUCCCAAAUUUUCAGUUUCAAUUUUAUUACAGAAUUUCUUUGCCGACAAUAAGAAAUUAAGAGCGCUCUUUAAGUUGAAUAUAGUCCGUCAGAUAUGGCUAUCUAUAACAUGGAACCUUUGGUUUUCAAGCUGAAUAGGAGAAUUGAUUCACUUGAUAAGUAUGAAAAAUUGAAACUGCUAAAUUUAAGUGCACUAACUCUGGAUAUCAUCAUUAUUUUUCUGUACAUUAAAGUACCUGUUUGAUAUGCGAUUUCUGCCUCAAACUAUCAACAUCUUUAACAUCCUUUUGCUAUAGUUAGCAUGGGUACUUCCUUUUAGAUUAACAGUUAGGUUUGAACUGUGAAUUAGAUUUCUGUGGCUGCUGGGAUUGAAGAAGUUAGUAUGCGAAUGACAUUGGACAAAUUUGGCAAAGUCUUCUCCAUCAGUGAAGAAAACCCCUUGGCGUAUGAAAAAUGUUCACCAUCUUAGACAUUUGUUUUCUUAUUGUAAGAAUAUUUUUAACAUUGUAACUUUUAACAUUAUUGUAAGAAUAUUUUGAAUUAUACUUCAGUUAUCAAUUUAUAUCAUAUAUCUUUUGUUGAAUUUGAAGUAUAAUUUAUAUUUGCUGUUUUUGGUUAGAUUUCAUGCUAUAGGAAGGGUUGUAUAUGGAUAGAAAUUGAAUGUUACAAAUCUGCCAAAGUUAGUGGCGUUUUUUCAUAAGAGCUGCUAAAGAAUGCUAUUUUUGGCGGUGUUUGUAAUAAAAGAGCCGCUAAAGGUCAUGUUCUUUAGCGAUGUUUGUGGGUAAAGCGCCGCUAAAGAUCAUGUUCUGUAGCUGUGUUUGUGGAUAAAGCGCCGCUAAAGAACAUGACCUUUAGCAGCGUAUUUUCACAUAAACGCCGCAAAAUUUAGCGGCUUUGUCUAUAGCGACUUUUUUUGCAGCGCUUUAAGUUUUAGCGGCGCUUUUAGGCCUAAAAAAGGGCCGCUAAAAGCCUGUUUUGCUGUAGUGAGCAUAUUUACAUUUUCGUCCCAAUUUCAACUAACACCCCAUCUAUUUCCCACUUCCCUUUUUCGGGCAAUUUCAACUAACACCUUCAUAUCAAACAUAACUAUUUUUCAAUUUUUCUUCUUUAUUUCAUUAAUAAAAUUAUCAAUCUAUUUGUUUUUAAAUAUAUAAUUUCAUUAAUAUUUUUUAAAUUAUAAUAUAAGAGUUGUUGUUUAUUUAUAGUUUUAUUACAUUAUUUACUCUCUCUUUUCUAUCAAGUUUUUUAAAUUAUAAUAUAAGAUUUAUUUUAUCAAUUUGUGGCUUAUCCAGUAUUCAUCUAUUUUAAUAAUAACUUGAGUUCCAGUCAUUAUCAUACCAGAAAGAGUUCCAUUUAUUCUUUAUCGUAAAUUUUAUAAAAAAAUAUACAUUUUAUUAUAAUACUAUAUGUGUUACGAAUAAUAUUUUAUUGUGGAUGCCCAUAAUUUUCAAAGUUGUAACCUCUAAUGUAGUAACCUUAAUGAAAUUAUGAGGCUUUUAUAUUGUAAUCAAGCCUCUAUUUAUUCUUUGUAACUUAAACAGAAGCAUAUUUUCUAUUAUAUUGAUAUUUUUUAUAGAUAUAUAUAUAUAUAUAAGGAAUCAAAUAAAAAGUUAUUUACCUUUCUAUUAUAUUGAUAUUUUCUAUUUGAUUUGUUCUUUUCUUUCACUAUUCCAUAAUAUAUUAUCAGUACGAUUUUAACCAAGAGUAACAUGUUAUUAGAUUGUGUCAAAAUUUUGUUGAGAAUCAUUAGAUUGUUUCCUUUUUCUUCUAUUUAGCCCCAAAUUGCACCCCUACACAAAAUUCAACAAAAACAUGGAAAAAUUAGUGGUGCACUCUCAUAAAUUAACCAAUUUAAUUACAUAAAAUAUGUAACUUUAGCAUUUUAUCAAUCAUGUUCUUUAGCGGCAUUUGUGGGUAAAGCGCCGCUAAAGGUCAUAUUCUUUAGCAGCGUUUGUGAUAAAAGUGCCACUAAAUAUCAUGUUCUUUAGCGGCGUUUGUGGAUAAAGCGCCGCUAAAGAACAUGACGUUUAGCAGCAUUUUUUUACAUAAACGUUGUAAAAUUUAGCGGCGUUGUCUAUAGCGACGUUUUUUGCGGUGCUUUCAAAUAGUUUUAGCGGCGCUUGUAGGCCUAAAAAAAUGCCGCUAAAAGUCUGUUUUGCUGUAUGAGCAUAUUUACAUUUUCGUCCCAAUUUCAACUAACACCCCAUCUAUUUCCCACUUCCCUUUUUCAGCCAAUUUCAACUAACACCUUCAUUUCAAACGUAAUUGUUUUUCGAUUUUUCCUCUUUAUUUCAUUAAUAAAAUUAUCAAUCUAUUUGUAUUUUAAAUAUAUAAUUUUAUUAAUAUUUUUUAAUUAUAAUAUAAGAGUUUUUGUUUAUUUAUAGUUUUAUUAUAUUAUUUACUCUCUUUUUUCUAUCAAGCUUUUUAAAUUAUAAUAUAAGAUUUAUUUUAUCAAAUGGUGGCUUAUCGAGUAUUCAUCUAUUUUAAUAAUAACUUGAGUUCCAAUCAUUAUCAUACCAGAAAGAGUUCCAUUUAUUCUUUAUCGUAAAUUUUAUAAAAAAAUAUAUAUUUUAUUAUAAUACUAUAUGUGUUAGGAAUAAUAUUUUAUUGUGGAUGCCCAUAAUUUUCAAAGUUGUAACCUCUAAUGUAGUAACCUCAAUGAAAUUAUGAGGCUUUUAUAUUGUAAUCAAGCCUCUAUUUAUUCUUUGUAACUUAAACAGAAGCAUAUUUUCUAUUAUAUUGAUAUUUUUUUAUAGAGAUAUAUACAUAAGGAAUCAAAUAAAAAGUUAUUUACCUUUCUAUUAUAUUGAUAUUUUCUAUUUGAUUUGUUCUUUUCUUUCACUAUUCCAUAAUAUAUUAUCAGUACGAUUUUAAUCAAGAGUAACAUUGUAUUAGAUUGUGUCAAAAUUUUGUUGGACUUCAAGUAUUGGAAUUUAAUUGUUUAAGUUAAGAAUCAUUAGAAUCAAUGGCUAUUUGAGAUAUGCUUGAGGAUGAUCUCAUUCUAUUCAUCACAAAGGUGGAGGUUAGAAAAUCUUUAUGUUUAAACAUUUAUAGCUUUAAAGUUAUUUUAACCUCUUAUUGUGACCUUAUAAUAUUUUGUAAUUUUUUGUAUUAUGGUAUAUAAAAAAAAUCUAACCAUAGUGAUUGAUUAGUAAUAUGAAUUUGUUAUUUGUUAUGUUUAAUAUAUAUUUUAUUUAUACUUAUUCAUUUUAUUUUUAUAUGAGUAAAUGAAGUGUUUGAAGAUUCGAAAUUUUUAUCAUCCAAGUUGAAAAUAAGUGCAAAAGUGUACAUUAUUUAAAAUAAAUUACGCAUUCAUUAAUGUUAUAUGAUAAAAUCAUUACAUGUUCUAAAGAACUAAUAUUGCAUCAAACUGUAAAAAGCUCUUGAAGAGUUAAUAUUUUACCUCCUUGUGAUACAAAAUCAUAUACAAUAUGAUAUUAUUUUUCAAAUCGAGUAGAUAUAUGUUGAGGGAAAUCUUUAUGUGGUUUACAUUAAAACCAUGGAUAGAAAUGACAUGAGAUACUCGUGUAUUUUUAUUAUAAAUAUUCCUUGAAGGAAGACACUUCACUUGUAUGAUUGACAUAUGAGAUAGUGGCAAGAAGUUCAUAGUGUUGGUAUGGUCGUCUAGAUCAUCUCAAAUCAAUAAUGAUGCAAAAUAAUUUGAAGAGAAUUUAUAUGAUUUUAUUGAAGAAUGAGAAGAUAUUUUCAUUUUGAUAAUUGUCAUCAAUACUAGUUCUUUGGAAAAAAAAUAUUGAACUAACAUAAAGUUAGAGGUUGGUUGCAUUUUUUGAUGAUAUCCAAAUAAUAUAUGAGCUCAUGUAUCACAUGUAUGCAACCCAAAGUUUACAGUAUUAUUUCUUGAAAUAAUUUGAUUCUACACAAUCUCUAUAGUAUGCAAUUUGUGCUAACAACGUUGGUGCAUUAUAUCCUAAGCUUGAUUUUCGUAGUUUUAGCUGAGAUAAUAUUAAGUUGUCUAUGCCUAUAUAUGUUAUACUUAAUGGUUAGCAAAAUUGUGCCUCCAUUUAAUUGCUUAACCAUUAAUAUAAGAAUAACUUUAAAAUAAGCAUGUAAUUUUAUUUGCAUAGAGUCAACAUGUAAGAAACAUUUGCCCCAUGAGAAUUGGCUUUCAUUUAUAAGCCAAUAGGUUUCAUAUGACUAUUUGGAUGUAAAAUAUCUAUUUUAUAUUCCACCAUAAUGCACUAAGAUGGUCCAUCAAGUAUGAAGUUGAGAAAAUUUAGAAUUUUUAUUUGAUGGUAAAAGUUGAAAAGAGAUAUAUACUUAUAAUUUUGAAAAAAAUAGUCAUGUUGCAAAUUUUUCUCAAUAUUAGGGGGAGACAAGUUGGACAAAUAAGGAUAAUUAUGUCAUCACUUUUUGUGAUCCCUCACUAAUAUUAUGUGCACAAAGUUUGAAGGAAAAAAGUAUUUGCUAGACAUGUUUAGUGAUGACACUUAGAGAUUGUAUAUACUAGAUGAUACAUAUACCAGCUAAAAUGUUCCAAAUAAUUAUGAGUCCUAGAAGGACAUAGUGAUAAAAAUAAUUUUUGGGCACGCUAGAAGGAUAAAAAACUAGUUCAUUCUAUAAAUCAAAAAAUUCUUGAAAGAAAAGAGUAAGAAAUGAAGCUGGCCACACAUUAAAGGAAACGAGUACUCAUGAAGAGACCUAAGGCAUAACUUUUAAUAAAACCCCAAAAGAGGUUCAAUACAUGGAAUUAUGAAUAUAAUAAGAUAUCUCGAUUAGUUAUAUCAUAACUAAAGAUGAUGGGGUUGAUAAAAGGAAAUUGUUGUUAACAACGAUAAUCUAAGUAGAACAUUUCAAUAUUAUGGUAAAAUGAGUAUUUUGAAUGAAAAUAUACUUGAAAGUAUUUAGAUGGGAACAACUCAUCAAAAUAAAUAGACGUUUCUAUUAUAACUUAUGAAAUGUGUCUCGGACAUGAAGUCCAAACAUUCGACAGGUGUAAAGCCAAGUGGAGUAUAUGUUAGCAUAAUAGUGAAAAAAUACAAAUCAUAAUAUAUAAAAUUGACUUGUAAGACAAACUUUCCCAAGACACUUGAUUUUGAUUAUGAAAAAUGAUUAAUUUGUGAUCUUAUCAAUUGAACAUACUUUGUAUAAUCAACAAAUUAUUAAUUAACCUCAUUUAACCAAUUUCCUUCAACACAUUUCAAAUCAAAUUAAUGUGUUGAGCACGCCCUUAACCCUUUUUCUUGAUUCAUUGCAUAGUCUAUUUCCAAGUACCAUAAUCAUCAACAUUUCAAUAUAUAAAGUCAUAACAUAAUGAAUCAUAGUUAGAAUUUUUUUUACCCUAUUAACCAAGUAUGGAACAAAAAUAAAAACCUAAUUUGUCAAGCUCAUUCAAUCAGCUUAUAUAUUAUAAGAAGAGCCUAAGUAUAAAUCCUAUACAUGAUUUCAAAUUCAACUAUUUAUAUUUGAGAUUCAAUUUAAAAUUCAUACUGAAAUUAUCAAAUUAACUCGUAAGCUACUCACGCUAAACAUUAAGGUACUCGAAUUCAAGUGGCUAGAUAUCAUAAACACUUUUAGCUUGUAAAACUAUUUCUAAGGGUCAGCCCAGAAUCAUGGUUGAACCCAAAAUCUGGUAACAAAAAUUUAAUUGAGCCAUCAGCCUAAAACAAAAAAGGCUUAAAAGGUUGGCACCCGAACAAUCAAAGAUAAACACCACCAUAUGCCACUCCCUGAAUCCGAUACAUACAAUAACACCCUUCACCACUUUUAUUCUUCUCCUUUUUUUUAACCUCAAUUUGGAUGGUCGCAUUUCUCUUUUUAGUGCUUUAUAGGGUUUGGGCUUUCAGAAUCCUCAGAGAUGCAAUUCAUGGAUCCCUCUAAGAAAUGCAAGCUUGAUGAAAAUGGUAUUAUUUCAACGGCAUCAGAACCUGACCCAAUCACCAAACUAACCCCACAAGAUGGCCGCAAGCUAAUCGAGCAAUUUAUCGUCGAUCAACUCCUUGACGUCCUCCAAGAUGCUGUUUGUUGUCACCUUGAUGUUCUUUCCGCCGUACACUCUAUUGCCGAUCAAGAUCCAUCUCAAAGGAAGCUUUUCAUCCGUGGUUGGGUUGGGAUACUACAACCCAACCCAACCCACAUUAGCAUACUACCAUGCGGUAACUUCUAGUGAUUUCUGUCUGUAACAUUAGACAGGUUAACAGUUAAAUCGUUCAACUGAAAGAUUUCUUUGAAGGAAGAGGUCAAUUGAUUUUUUUUGGAAUCAUUGUGUACUCAGUUGCAUUUAAGACGGGUAUCAUUCAUAAAGUAUAUAUCUACAUCAAGAAUGGUAGCCUCUUAUAUUAUAUUCAUGUAUUUAUUUUGCAUCUUUAAUUAUAAUAGGAUUUUUUUUGUUUAUUUAUAGUUUUAAUUAUAAUAUUUUUUAAAUAUGCCAAAGUAAAUUAUGUACCAAUUUUAAACUUCUCCUAGGUAAUUUAACGUAAGGGCAUUUAUGUUAUUUUACCACUUAUGAUAAAACUAACCUAAUUUUAGAUCUAAGUGUUUACCAACCUUCUUUUAGUCAAAUUAUGCAAGCCUAAAAUUUUUAGCUUAAUUUGAGUUUGUUUACUAUGUCUAAUUCAAGUUUUAUUAUUAAGAACUAAAUUGUAACUUAAACAAAUUAGAAUACCAAUUUAAAGAGACAAAAAUUCAAAGCCCCAAAACCCACACGGGCAUGUGGGUAAGUGACACAGGCGUGUGGAAACUGGAGCUAUCACACACGGGUGAGUGGGACUGAAAAAUAUGAAAUAAAUUAAUCCAUUUAAAUUUCCAACAACCAUGCUAUACUACCAAACCAAAUAAUGUUAGAAGCUUUGAAUAGGGGCGAAUCUUAAAAAAAAUAGAAGAAUUAGAAUUAAAUUAUAAAAUUUUGAGAAGUUGUCAUGUAUUAAUUUAUUAUUUUUUAAAGGGUCUUAAUAGAUUUUUUUUCCCCAUUUUGGUUUGGCCAAUACCCCUGUCUGCCUCUUUCAAUUUGCUUCAACCCUUAGCCCAAUAUUCGAUUUGUUGUGGAAGUUUGACGCAUAAAAAUUCCUUUUUUAGAGGUUUAAAUUAUAAAUUUUUAUUAACAAAAUAUAAAAGAAAAAAACAUGUGUAGACAAGCCAAGAAACCUUUGGGAUCAUACAGGUGAUUUUGAGAUGUUCAUGGUUAUUUUGGUGGAGAGGGUAAAAAAGAAACAAAUGAUUCAUUAUAUAUGAUAUAAUUAUGAAAUUCAAGCCAUAUAUUGUAUGUUUCAUCCAUACAAAUUUCUUGUAGCAUUAAAUGACUCGUAGGCUUGCUGAAUUUCUUUGAAAGGCCCAAAGGCAAUUUAACAUUCACAAAAUAAUCUCUAAAUAGUGUAAAGACAAAUCAAAUCCACAGUAGCAUUAGAGUUGAUUAAGCUAAGCAUUGGCAAAUAUUACUUUGAUUUUGCAUGCAAUAUUGGCAAAACCCCCUCUUACAUUAGAAAAACAACAUAAUCCAUGAAACAUUGAUAGCCCAAUACAAAUUUCAUCGAGAAAAAAGUCUCUUUGUUUUGUAGAACAUGAUAGUAAAGAUGUGGAGUUUCGUUCUUCUUAUUGGCCUCCUUUAGUUUUCCUUGAUCAACAACCACUAGCCAAAAACACAAUUAGAUUAGAUUAUGAAUGAUACUUUCAACUAUGACAAUAUUAAAUACAAACCACUCUAAAUAACUCUAAAUAAAUGGAAAGCAGCAAAUUACCAGACGAGGCAAGCUAGCUCAAUUAAGACCAUUGUGUUAUACUUGUCUCUGAAUUGAAAAAUUUAGAAGGAAAUAAAGAGAAAGACUUAGAAAAUACUUGAAAACAGAAAAAAAAAUUAUGUCAUUUAAAAUAAAAAAUUUCUAUUCAAGCCAUUUAAAAUUUGUAAGAUUUUUAAAAUUUUAAAAUGAUAAAGGUAAAAUUGUACUUUGGCACCCCAAAAAUGAUAAAACUUUGAUUUAAUUAUUUAAAAAUUAUAAAAAUAUAGGCUAUUAAAAUGGUGAAAUUAUAUUUUUACUAUAGUAAAAAUUACAAUUUAAUUUCACCCCUAAAAGGAUUUUCUGGCUUCGCACCUAAUAAAAUCUUUGGCAAAAGACUAAAAUAAAAUUAUACCAUGAAUGGAAAAAGAAACUAAUAAAAUCCAAUCUAACAAAGAAAAUAACUUGAUGUCCAAAAGCUACCAUAAACCGUAAUUCAUGGGAAGGCUUGUUGCUUAUUUUAUUGGUUUCCAUUUUGAAAGAAGUUUGAAUUUUGAAGAGAGCCUACUACGUGAAAGCAAAAGAAAAAAAAAUAGUUUAUAUGAUUAAAAUUCCAGAAUAGAUUAAAAAUGUUGAAUUAAAGAUAAAAUUAAGUGUGAAUUAAUAACCACAAGUGUACUCUUUACUCACCAUCUCUGUUAAAAAUGUUGGAUGUUGUUUAGCAACCUUUGUUUGAUUUUCUUCAGCUCAACCACAACAUCUUUCAUAUCUUUUCUUUCUUCUGGUAACUCAGCUGAACAAUUCAAAGCCAACUCCAUGAUAGAUGAAAUACAAUUUGCUUUAACAACAAUGUACUCAUCCUCUCUUCUUAAUAAAUCAACAUCUGCAAUUUCUAUCGCUCCUUUAGGCAAUGAUCUUUCCAUCCAAUGCCUUAUACUCUCUUCUUCAACAAAAACCUUAUCAGUUGGCUUUUUCUUUGUGAAAGUUUCUAUAAGGACGAUCCCAUAACUAUAGACGUCAGAUUUUAUAGAAACAAUUCCUGCUGAUCCAAAUUCUGCAUUUCAAGUAUAAUUAGAACAUCAUUCAUCCUCAAUUAUUUCUAAAACGCUUAUUCAAAUAUCUAUCCACAUACACGUGAAACAAGAAUAUAAAAUACAAAUUAGGAAAAUAAUCAUACAAAAAUAAAAAAAAGAAUUCACCUGGUGCCAUAUACCCAAUAGUUGCAAGAGUCAUGGUUUGCUUCAUUACUUCACCUUCUCCCAACAAUUUGGCAACGCCAAAAUCUCCAACAUGUGCAACCAUGUCUUCAUCUAGUAAAAUAUUGCUUGGUUUUAUGUCACAAUGAAUUAUAGGUGUUGGAUGUCCAUUGUGGAGGUGUUCUAUAGCUACCGCAACAUCUAUCAUUAUGUCGACCCUUUGUAUGAUACCAAGGAAACAAUUUUCAGAAUGUAACCAUUUCUCAAGGUUUCCAUUAGACAUGUAAUCAAGCACCAAGGCUUUGAAGUCAACACUUGAGCAGUAAGUAAUGACCUUCACAAUAUUACGAUGAACUAUAUUAAGCAUAGCAUCACAUUCAAUGUCAAAACUCCUAAAUGCUCCCUCUGUUUGCAAAUUGAAAACUUUUAUUGCAACUUCCAUUCCAUCUGAAAGCCUCCCUUUAUAUACAUAUCCAAAACUCCCUGAACCAAGCGUAUUGCUUUCCUCAAAUCCAUUAGUUGCUCGUGAAAGUUCAGCAUGUGAAAUUCUUCUCAGUGUCUUCAAAGACAACAAAUCAUCUUUAACUGGUAGAGCUGUACUCCUUUGGCAUCUUCUAUACAUAAUAGUUAAGACUAUUAGUACUAGGACAAUACCAAUUGUUGGUAAACCAUACCUAAAAGCAUGCAAUAUAAUCAUUUGGGAGUUUUUGUGGAUGUCAUUUUUGCAAGGUGGGACUAGCAAUCUAGGUGGACCACAAAGUGCACAAUUAUUCAUGAAUGAUGUGCUAGAAAAGUUUGAAAAACAUCCUUUGCUGGGAAUUUCCCCUUCAAGUCUAUUGAAAGACACAUUAAAAUACUUUAGAUAUAAAAGCUUUUCCAAAGAUUUGGGAAUGACUCCAGAGAGAUUGUUAUUGCAUAAAUCCAAGAAUUCCAAACUAAUCAACCCAUCAAAUGAUUCAGGGAUAUGACCAUGUAGUAUAUUAUUUGAUAAAUCUAAUGAAACCAAAGUUUGAAGACCCCCAAAUGUGGAUAAGAUAUCGCCCAUGAGAAGAUUCCUUGAUAAAUUUAGUCUCAGUAGACUCCUAAAGUUUCCAACAUCAAUAGCAUGCGAAUUGUGAAGAUGGUUUGAUGAUAAAUCUAUUUCUAAGAUAUCUUUAAGAUUCCAUAAAGUUGAGGGUAUUGCGGAACUCAAUUUGUUGGAAUCUAACCAAAGAUAUCUCAAAGCAGAAAUAUUACCUAAACAAGAGGGUAUGGAUCCAUGCAGCUUAUUCAACCCUAAAUACAUCUUGAAUAGUCUCUCCAAACCACAGAGGCUUUCUGGGAUAGGCCCUUCUAAUUUAUUAGAGGAAAGAAAUAGACCUUGGAGAUUUAUCAUUCCUCCUAUUGAUGCUGGAAUCAAUCCACUUAAUUUAUUAUAGCCAAGUUGUAAAACCAACAUGUUGCUUAAGUUACCUAUUUCCAUAGGAAUAAUGCCUUGAAGCUCACACUCUGUGGCACGAAAGUAUUGAAGGGAUUUUGAAAGGUUCCCGAAAUAAGUAGGAAGAACGCCACUCAAUGGAUUUCCUGAAACAAUUAUUCUUUUCAAAUGCUUGCAAUUCGUCAAAGAAGAAAGAAAGCUCCACUCAUGAUCAGUAGCAGAUCCUGUGAUCAAAUUAUUGUUUACGAUUCCGAACCAUUCAAGGUGUCUUAAGCUGCCAAGCAUUUUAGGGAUUGGGCCAGAGAAUAAGUUUUCUGACAAGGAUAGAAUCUUAAGCAUGGAAGCAUUGGAGAUAGAGUUGGGAAUGUUUCCGCUAAGUUUAUUUCCCCACAGUAAAAGAAUCUGAAGCUUUGGAGCAUUGGUAAUGGGUGGUAAAUUACCUGUAAAAUAGCAUCUUUUAGAAAACAUAUUCAUUGAAUACCAAAUUCACAAAAUAUAUAAUACAUUAAAAUAAAAACUGUAAAACUUUAAAUCAAUUAAGAAUAAAAUUUUGGCAUGGAAAAAUGUGAUGAAAUCAAUUAGAAAGUUGAGACAUAAUAAGAAGUUUUGAGUAGUAAUUAGUCCUUGUGAUUUGUAUAGACAAAACAUAUAAUACACUGAUAAUUUUUUUAAAAUAUUGUAAAACCUGAAAUAAAAUAAAAAAUAAAAGUUUGGCACAAGAAUGUGGCAUCUAAUCAUUCUUAAAAAUAAGACUAACAUUAAAUAAUAAUUAGUUAUGAUUUGAGAAACAAAAAUGUUAAAGAUGUAAACUGGUAUGAUUUUUAUCUAUUGGGUUAAUUAUUUAUUUUUAUUAAAUUAUAUAUAGUGUAAAAUUUAAAGAUUAUUAUUUGCUCAAAAUUUUUGUAUUUUUCGUAUAUUUGAAAUUUAAUCUUUAUAUUUUUUUAUUUUCUGUGAUUUAGUCUCUCUACUUUUUAAAUUGAAAAUUUUAAGUUUAUUUAUUAACACUGUUAAAAAGUUUUUGUGUUAGUAUGGCAUUUUGAAAAAUAAAAUAAACUUGAUAUCUAUGUUUUUAAUUAUUCCAAAUACUGUUUUACUAUUCCAAGAUAAAUUAUUUGUGUCUAGACCAAUAUCUGAAGAACUAUUGUUGCAUGUUUAAUUAUUCUAAAGAAUUGUUGAUUGAGUCUUAGUUGAAGUGCACUAUUCUCCUAUUUAUGAAUUGGGGAGUUGAUAAAGUACUAAAUUUUGAUAUAUUUUAAAAAAUUAAAAAUUUAUUAAAAUAUUUUUAUAAAAAUUGAUUGUACCAAAAUAUACAAUUUUAAUAUCAAAUUUUUAAUUUUUUAAAAAUAUUAGCGAAUAUAUACUUUAUUUCAAGUUACACAAUUUUUACUAGUUUUUAACUUUUUUUUUAAAUUUUUAUCGUCUUUUAUAAUUUCAUAUAAUUUUUUAUAAUUUUUUACAAUAUUUACAAUUUCUAACAAUUUUUAAUAAUUUUAUUAUUUAUUAUAAAUUUAAAAAUUAACAAAUUUUUAUUUUUUUAAAACAAUUAUAUAUUUAUAAUGUAGUUAUUUUUUUAUAAUUUUUUUUGAAAUUUAAAGAUUUUUUUGGUUUUUUCUAGAUGAUGAUGCCAUCAUGAUGUCAUCAUAUGCCACAUGGCAAUUUAUAAUUAGUUGACUAUCUCAAUCUAUUUUUUUAACGUCCAAUGGACUAAAACAAGAACACCUGAUAAUGUUAGAGACUACACUAGGAAUGUUUGAUAAUAUUAGGUACUAAAGUGGGCAAAAAAAAUUAAGGACUAUAUUAAAAAUAUAUCUAUAAUAUAUAUAAAUGCAUGGAUUUUGAGAAACUUUUGAAAUGACAAAUAUAUAGUCUUUGUUUUUUUUUACUAUAUUAUUGAAUUUUUUAUUUUAAAUAUUUUUUUAUUACUUUUAAGAUUUAUCAUAUGUAUGGAUAAAAAUUUUGGUUUUACUAAAAUAUUUGGUUAAAUAAAUUCACUUUAUAAAAAAAUUUAGCAUCCUUAUAAAUAACAAUUUUGAUUCCAUUAAAAAAAUUAUUUAAUAAUAUAUAAUAAAAAUUUAAAAUUUAUAUUGAAUCACUUUAUACUUAAAUUAUUAUUAGAAACUUUAUCAUACACAUAUGUGUAUGAGAACCACGUUUUCAGAACUUAAAUUUGUGUUCUAAAAUAACUUAUGAUAAAUAAUUAAAUGUAUAAUUUGAAAUUAUAUUGAAAUAAAAAUAGAUUAAAUUGUAAGUAAAACAUAUAUAAUUUAAACAUAUGAAUACAUCAAAUUAAAAAUACUAAAUGAAUACAUUUAUUUAUGAUGAUGUUGUUGUCAAUUCAUAAGUUGGUGUCGAGUUAAUUUGUGACAUCAUAAUUUUAAGUGAUAAAUUUAAGGUUUUAUGUAUUGAUGUCGAUUCAAAUAUCACCAUAAUUUUUUUAAAUAAAAAACUAAAGCACCCUCAAAUAAUAUAACUUAUAUUAAAUAUGAAAGGGUAUUUUUGUAAUUUCUCUAACGAGUUGGUGCCCGGUUGACUCAUGACACCAACUCAAUCAAAAGCUUCAAUAAUAAUAUAGAUAUUCACGUUUAAAAAAAGUACUUUAGUUCGAAAUAAUUAUAUAACAAGUAAUUUUAUAAUUGAUGAAUAAUUUUAUAAAAAUAUAUUUAUAUAAUCUAAUAUAUUAUAUUUAUAUUAAUUAUAUAUCAUCUACAAACUUUGAAGAUCAAUUUAUUAAGUAUCAGGAAAAGAAAAAAUGAAAUUGAAUUAACACUAAAUCAAUUUUUAGAUUUUGUACAGAUGAUUUAAUGAUGAUAAAAACAUUAUUAGCACUAUUUUUGAAUUAACAAAAAAUUAGUGAUAUAUUUUAAUUAUAUUUUUUAUUUUUUAUUUUUAAUAAUAUUUUUUUAAUUAUAUGAAGUAAAAUUAUAUUGUAUACUAAAUAUGGUACAUAUACUUUAAUUAAAACUUGAAAAAUUAUUAUAUAAAUUAAUAUAUUUUAAUUAUAUUCAACCAUUUGAAUAACAAAAUUAAAAAAAACUAAUUAGAAUUAUUUACUUUUUAAAGUUUAAUGGAAAAUAAAAAAUUAAAAAUAAAUCAAUUCAUAUAAAUCUUAUUGUUUAUUAUCAGAUUAAAAUGAUAAAAGUAUAUGACAUACAUAGAAGAAACAAAUUCAACACAAUGUUUUUGGAGUUUGGAAAAAAUUAAAGUGAAAAACAUACCUUCUAAUUUGUUGUUAAAUAGAUCUAUUUCUUCGAGCGUAGUUGAAUUAAAAAUACUUGAUGGAAUCUGACCUGCACACAUAGUCGAAAAUUGAAGUGAAAUCAAACUCUUUUGUGAAAAAAAUAUUACCAGAUAAUUCAUUCCAACCCAGGUAAAGCCCUUCAAGCUUGGGAAGAUGUUGACACAUAUCAUUAAGCAAACUACCUGAUAGGCUAUUGUUGGAGAGAUCAAUGGUCUUCAGAGAAGAAAUGUUGAAGAUCGAAGUUGGAAUCUGACCUGUAAGGCCUUUAAUUGCUUUAAUACUAAGCAUCUCCAAACCAAGAAGAUUACCGAUUUCCUCGGGAAUUUGACCUGCACACAUAGUCAAAAAAUCAAGGUGUCAAACUAUCUAUUUUGUUAGCAUAAGUCAAAGAGGUUUUCUUUUCUGUUCUACAGUAAUUUGAAGAUGUUAGAUUUUAAUAUAUUUCAGCAUAUGUUUUUCAUCAAAUGAAAUAAAAAGUUUUUCCUUUUUAUUAUCUAUUACAAGUCAAACUCUUUUAUAAAAAAAAAUACUUUAAAUUCAAGAAAUCAAGGAAAUUGAUUACCUUCUAGAUUAUUAAACCGCAAAUAUAAUUCCAGGAGUCGUGUUAGAUUUCCAAUACUUCUUGGAAUGAUCCCCGUCAAUUGAUUCAAGGACAAGGACAAAUUUUUAAGGUUGCUGCAUUUUCCCAUACUUGACGGAAUGUUACCAGAUAACUCGUUGCUAUGCAAGUAAAGCACUUCAAGCUUGGGAAGAUGUUGACACAUAUCAUUAGGCAAACUACCUGAUAGGCUAUUGUUGGAGAGAACAAUGGUCUUCAGAGCAGAAAUGUUGAAGAUCGAAGUUGGAAUCUGACCUGUAAGGCCUUUAAUUGCUUGAAUAUUAAGCAUUUCCAAACCAAGAAGAUUACCGAUUUCCUCAGGAAUUUGACCUGCACACAUGGUCGAAAAAUCAAGGUGUCAAACUACCUAUUUUGUUAGCAUAAGUCAAAGAGGUUUUCUUUUCUGUUCUACAGUAAUUUGAAGAUGUUAGAUUUUAAUAUAUUUCAGCAUAUGUUUUUCAUCAAAUGAAAUAAAAAGUUUUUCCUUUUUAUUAUCUAUUACAAGUCAAACUCUUUUAUAAAAAAAAUACUUUAAAUUCAAGAAAUCAAGGAAAUUGAUUACCUUCUAGAUUAUUAAACCCCAAAUAUAAUUCCAGGAGUCGUGUUAGAUUUCCAAUACUUCUUGGAAUGAUCCCCGUCAAUUGAUUCAAGGACAAGGACAAAUUUUUAAGGUUGCUGCAUUUUCCCAUACUUGACGGAAUGUUACUAGAUAACUCGUUGCUAUGCAAGUAAAGCACUUCAAGCUUGGGAAGAUGUUGACACAUAUCAUUAGGCAAACUAUCUGAUAGGCUAUUGUUGGAGAGAACAAUGGUCUUCAGAGCAGAAAUGUUGAAGAUCGAAGUUGGAAUCUGACCUGUAAGGCCUUUAAUUGCUUGAAUAUUAAGCAUUUCCAAACCAAGAAGAUUACCGAUUUCCUCAGGAAUUUGACCUGCACACAUGGUCGAAAAAUCAAGGUGUCAAACUACCUAUUUUGUUAGCAUAAGUCAAAGAGGUUUUCUUUUCUGUUCUACAGUAAUUUGAAGAUGUUAGAUUUUAAUAUAUUUCAGCAUAUGUUUUUCAUCAAAUGAAAUAAAAAGUUUUUCCUUUUUAUUAUCUAUUACAAGUCAAACUCUUUUAUAAAAAAAAUACUUUAAAUUCAAGAAAUCAAGGAAAUUGAUUACCUUCUAGAUUAUUAAACCCCAAAUAUAAUUCCAGGAGUCGUGUUAGAUUUCCAAUACUUCUUGGAAUGAUCCCCAUAAAUUGAUUAUAGGAGAAGGACAAUUUUUUUAAGUUGCUGCAUUUGCCCAUACUUGACGGAAUGUUACUAGAUAAAUCAUUCCGACUCAGGUGAAGCCCUUCAAGCUUGGGAAGAUAUUGACACAUAUCAUUAGGCAAACUACCUGAUAGGCUAUUGCUGGAGAUAUCAAUAAUCUUCAGAGAAGAAAUCUUUAAGAUGGAAGAUGGAACCUGACCAGAUAAUUGAUUGAAUCCCAAGUUUAAGAUCACUAGAUUAGACAUGUUAACAAGUGUUUCAGGGAUUGUGCCUGUAAAGUUAUUAUUUUUCAUUUUUAGCCUUCGAACUCUCUGUAAGUUCCCAAGCCAUGAUGGAAUUUCCCCAUUCAGACGGUUGUAGCUUAAUUGAAGGAUCCUCAAACGAUGCAAUUGGCCCAAUUCUUUAGGGAGAUGGCCAUAGAAAUGGUUGCUACUCAAGUCGAGAGAGAGUAGAAAUGAAAGAUUUCCAAGGUGUGGAGGGAUAGUACCCCUAAGAUUCAUGCUUGUAAGAUUCAAAGCUAUAACUCUUUUAUGGAGGAUGCCACAAGAAACACCAGUCCAAUUGCAAACAGAGGUUGAGGCCAUCCAAUUGUCUGCCAAGACAUUUUGAGGAUCGGCAAUGCGAUCCUUAAACUCGAGAAGUGCAAAUUGAUCGGAGUUGAGAUUCUUGGCUGUCAUAGCCAAGCAAAGUACGGAACAUGAUAUGAAUAAAGCUAAGAGAAGAUGAAAGCAAGUUUUGUAGUUCAUGAUUGCAAGACGGAAUAAGGCAAGAAAAUAAAAAAAGUAGGAAAAGGGAAGUUGAGUUGAUAAAAU